AAAAAACUGGUAACUGUUUGUUUCUCCUUCUGUGGUCUCGAUCUACUAUAGUUUGUGUUUUGGGUGUUCCGUUAGUAUUUUUUUUUUUUUGAAAAGUUGUUGCAGUGGCCAUGGAUGGUACAUGAGAGUUAUUUCUGUAGAAGAAAAGAAAAAAAAAGACUAAUUUUGUGAUUUAAAAAACUAGGCAAUGUGACAAACUGGGCAUAGGGUUCUGUUAUGUUUAUUUUUUUUUAAAAAUGAUUUUGAGCCGUUUGGUUCCACUAUAGCUCACCAUCAUGAAAAGUCGUGUCCUUUGUGGCUUUCUUACAAUUCUACUUUACUCUUACUCUACUCAAGAGUUAAGAUUCCUUUUUCAAAGCACUUCAUUACCCAUCGGACAUGAAACUUAUUUAUUAACUAUGUUGGCAUGUCGACCUUUGGUGUACAACAAAAAACAACCUAAAGCCAUGCCCUUGUAUUUUUGGCCAAAACAAGAGAGAGUAAAAAUCUAUGCUUUCCUCCUAGGGAGUAUCAAAAUGUUUGUCGGACUAUCCCAAAAGUCUUCAGUCACCUUUUUAAACUUUUAAACUUUUUUAAGGUAUCCAUGCCAUUAUCCACAACGGUAAAAUUACUCACCUCACUCAACUAUAUUUUAUUAACUUUUUUAACACUAUUAACAUUAAUCACUUGUUUACAUUGAAGAUCUACACUAUUCACUCACGCAUACAUUCAAGACAAGGUUAUUAUUAUUAUUAUUAUUAUAUGAGAAAGUGUGUACCUUUAAUAAUGGGUAAGGCUAAAUUUUGCCUUUUGGACCGUUGGGUACAAUUUAAAAAAAAAAUUAAAUUAGUUUAUUUUUGGUAAGGAUAUCCAUUUAACUGCAAUUAACAGUGCCGACAGCAUGAAAUUGUUUCUAUAUCUUAUCCAUGCAUUUGUAAUCUUUUUAUAACAACAGUGCUUCCACUAAGAAAUAGUAGUAACUGAUUCUUUUUCAGUCAAUGUUCUCAAACCAAAACCCACUACAGGACUAGUACUAUGUAUACAUCAAAUAAACUAAGACACUAUUUACUAUGUAAAUAGUUCUCUCAGUAUGUAUUUGCAUGUUCCCAAAGUUCCAUUUCACCAUGACAGCACUCCCAUAAAAAGCAGAAAGAUUAUGUGUGCAUGAACAUGGUAAUUUGUGCCAACAUAUUAAGACAACAUUUGGACCAAUAAUUAUGCUAAAAGAGUAAUUUAUGGUGCAAGGUAAUGCUUCUAGCUAACAUAGUUCAUGCAGUAAUGGUGCAAGGUAUUACUGUUCAUCCCAUUACAAAUUAGUAUGUAUAAUAACUAUAACCUGAUUUUAACUAGAACAUCUGACAAAAGUGCAAUAUGGUGGAUUUGCAGGUAUAGCAAACUCACAAAUCACACCAUAAGAACAGGUGGUGGAUCAAAUUUCUCCUCUUUGGAGUGGACAUCAAUUGCUUGGGCCACAGGUCUAGCUUUGGCUGCUCCAAUUCUGGGGUUCGUUUCCUUCCAUCUUGAUGGCCACUUCCCAAAGCUCAUCACAGCAGCAGCCACAGGCAUCGGAGUAUUCUUCUGCCUCCCUGCAGGCUUCUUCAAAGUCACAGCCAUCUUCGUUCCCUACAUUGCUGGCAUUGUUGCAGCCAGCACAGUCGCCACUGCUGCUCACACCCACCACCUUGGCCUCAUGAUCCGCUGCUUCACAGGACCAACCCUCAAGAGAAGCCAAUUCUCCAUCAGACAAGCAGUCUCCAGCAGACUCUCCCUCCACGCCACGGCGGCUGGAUGCCUUGGAGCCGCCAUAAUCUCCUCCUUCACAUACCAUAUGCUUCGGGAACUCAAUGACAAUGAGCGUGAUGUCAUGAGUCUCUGGGUUGUUUCAAUCUUCAGUGGCCUGAUAUGGCUUGUGGGGGUGUUGCACAUUGUCACAUCCAUCAGCAGAACCACUGAUUCCAUCUCUUUCUCCUCAAGACUCCACCCCUUUUCCAUCUUCAAGUACCCUCAUGCAAUUGGAGGCCUUGCUGGGGUUUUCCUCUCCUCGUUCACCACCAUGUCGAUUUUCACUGGGGGAGUGAUCUUCAUAGUGGGACAACUCUGCAUCAAGCCCCUGCACUUACUCUAUUUCUGGCUAACUUACUUCCUCUUCCCUCUUGUUUCUCUGUCGUUAUUACAACCCUUGAUGCACGUGAUCAAGAUGAAUUCUGUGAAAAUGCAAAUAGUGGGGUUCCUUUUGUCUCUCUUGUCAUCUGGCUUUGGAUUCUACUACGGCCACAGCCACUGGAAAUGGGGUCACUUGGUGUUAUUUGGUGCAGUUCAAAGCACAGCAACAGGGAUUCUGUAUGCUUUUGGGAGGCUCUUGGUGUUGGACUGUGCCCCCUCAGGGAAAGAAGGUGCAUUCUCGAUCUGGUACGCUUGGAUGAGAGCUGCAGGGUUGUGCGUGGGGUUCACGGUGGGGUCGGUGGCGCCGGGGCGAAUCAGGACUUCAUUUGGAGCUGCGUUUUGCACUGCCAUAGCUGGAAUUGUGGUGCUGCUAUUCGGGAACAUCAGUGAUGUGGGAGGUGCUGUUGCUGCGGGGCAUGUCAGAGAUGAAUGUGAGAGAAGUUCGUCGGGUGUGGCUGGCUUGGAUUCUAAAGAAUCAGCACGCGUUUGAAUAACAGAAAGUGAUGAAGAAGAAUAUUGUUGUCUUUGUGCGUUAUAUGAUGAUUCUUUGCAAAUGAUGUUAAUGCAUGCAAGAGUAUAAGGCUUUUUAUUUUAUGAUUGAUUUUAGAUGUAUUCUGGUAGUUAAUUGUUGUUGUUGUGCAUGCAUGAUGUUUGGUCUCUCUGUUCAGGAUUUGGGUGCUGAUGAUGACAUGUGUAACUGUGUUAUACUAUUUUCUCAUAUUUGUCUCUCUUAUACAUCAUUUCUCCCUAAAACUCUUCUAACUAAUUAACUGCUUUUUAUCCCUUAUUCUACUUAUAAUUUCCAAUUUUUAAAACUUUUUUUUUUUUAUAUCUCAAAUAUAUGCUUUUAAUUAAUUCUUUAAAUUAUUUCUGUAGUUUCUAUUGCAAUUGCCAUAAACUAUUAUUUCCAGACGAUGAUCCUAUUUAAAUAUAUCCAACGUUUUGAUGUAUUAACUGAAAAUUAUUGAGACCUACGAAAUAACGUGCAUCUCUUUAAACAUUAAAAUGUGAAAAAAAGUUUUUGUUUUGUAUUUUUCAAAAAAUAUAACAAAAAAAAACUUGUUUAACACGAUUUUUUUUAUUGUGCUAACAGAUAGUUCAGAACACAGUGUAAAGUUUCUUUUAUAUUCUUUUAAAAUUUUUAACAAAGCGGAAACUUAAGAAAUUGUUUUUUUAAACCCUAAACCUUAAAUUCUUAUAUUAUUUGAAAAAAUCAUAGAAGAUUUUUUUGUAUUAAAGUUUUCUUUUUUUUUUUCAGAAGAAGAAUCAUACGACAAAAAAAGUUCCAUUGAGUUAAUUUUUUCGUAAAAAAAUUUAAUAGGGGAUUUUUUUUUUCGUUUCUUAAUUUUAAUAAUGAAAGUAUGCUUCUUUGAGAGUUUUUUAACCUAAAUAUAUCAAAAGAAUAUGGUUUCUUUUCACUUCGAUUGGGACUUUAAUAGUAAUUUGGGGGUACGAAUAAAAGACUAUACCUUCUUAGUGUACACAGUGGCGAGCUACGCAGCCCAAAAUAUUGAGCUCCGCUGCUAACUAGAAACAAUGGGCAAAUUCUUUCUGCACCUUCAUCGUUUCUUCUGGCACCCUCAUAUUUUUGGAAAUACCAAAAUUGUCCAUUCUGAAUUUUACAAUUUAGAAUCCAAAUUUUGUAUUGAGUUUUAUAAUUUGAAAUACAAAAUUUGCAUCCAAAUUAUACAAUUUGAACUAUUUCUAUUUUGGAUUGUACAAUUCAAAAUAAAAAAAAAAUUGUAUUUCAGAUUUUAGAAUACAAAUUUCUCACUUAGACGAUGAAGGUAAAAAGACUAUUGCGACAGUGACGUGGAUGUGAGAGAUGUUAUGACGUUGAAGGUGGGGGUGCAGGAAGAAAUCGUGGAAACAAUAAAGCCCAAAUUAGCCAGAUCUUUACCUCAAAAUUAAACAAAAAAUAGAAUUAAGAAAAAAAAAACGCAAUCCCCAAAAUCGAAGGGAAGAAAAAACCCUUGAGCAAUCGCAGGUUUGAAGGUUUGGGUUGGAUUGUGCAGAGUGCAAAAACUGGAAAUCAGUGAAGUCGCCAUGCUUCGUUGUUUGACGAAACUUCGUUGUCUCGCCGUUCAAUCACGCCAAAUUCUACCACCGCCCUCUUCUCGCCGUCUCCUCCAUCAUUUGCCGUCGCAACCGCUUCACUCUGCUUCCACUUUCCGUACUUCUUCUCCUCCGUCCUUUGUUUUCUCUUCAUGGCCUCUCCACGUAUCCCAUCCUUGCCCUUCCGUAAGUCUUCGAUGUAAUUAUUUAGAGUUUGUCAUUCCGAUCGUGAUUGUGAUAGCAGUUUAAUUUGCUGUGCAUAGUUGGUUCAAGUGCGCCACGUGUCGUCCAGGGAACGAAAACUCAGAAGAAAACCGAUGACUCCUACCAUUUCCAAGGUUAAGAAAACCAAAAUGAAAUCUUAUUCGUAAGUUUCAUCUUCGUUACUCGCAUAGUUUGUGUGAAUUUUUCUUUUUUUUUUUCUUUUGUUUGUGAUGAGUAAGUGAUUUUAAUAUGGUGGGAGCAGGUCUUUAAAAUUAAGAUUCAGAGAAAUGAGUGAUGGGAACUUCAGGCGCUGGAAGGAAGGCAAGCGUCACAAUGCUCAUCUUAAGGUUCAGUUUUUUUCUUUCUGGAUUUAAUAAGGUUUUAUGAUAUGUGAUGAUAUAACCCAAUUUAGAUAAACUUCUCAGUAAGUGUUUAUAGGGGGCGAAAUAAAAAAAAUGUAAAAUGAAUUAAACUUCUUUUAUAAGUUAUAACUAACUUAUCACUUCACUUCAACUUUUACGGAAGCUCUCUGAUCUAUAUUCUCCAAAAGCUGUGGUGCAUAAGGUAUUAUGGAGGAGUUUAAUUCCUUUUCCUUUUUAUUUUCUUUCCCUGUAAGUUUUUGCAGAUAAAUUUAUCCAAACAGGCCCUUUGUGAUUAUAUGUUGGAAUGUGAGUUUCUUGUUGGUGGUUUUGUCUAGAAUCCUUGAUAAUUUCUGUUGUUCCAGGGUAAAUAGCCAGAUAAAUCAUGUCAUGUCAUACUCAUUCCUAAAAUUCCUUUCUCAACAUUUCAUGAGGUGCAAAUAAAUCACCACGUUUAUCUUGACUAAGUUAUUGACUUGUUCUUAUUCACAGUGGACUGUUGCUGUCCUUCCUAAGCAAGAUUCCUAUAGCAUUUCUAGUACGUUACAUGCGGAAGUAAUUAAAUAAAUUGGUCGAACACUUAAUUGGAAACAGUGGCAAGUUUCUUUCAGAGAGAAAUUGCUUUUGAAAAUGAAAUCAUAAUUGCUGUUUCUAACUUAGUAGCAAGAUUGUGAUUUGGAUUUCUUCAUUUGCCGAAAAUAGAGCAACAUGUGUUUCCUUAGGGUGUAUAGUUGUGAAAAUUAGGGUGAUGAGGCAAGGCAAUACUUAUGGUAUGCUUGUAGAUAAUGGUAUUAACAAGAUUUGAAAAAAGAAACAAAUUUCAGAAUCUGGUGCCAUUGGGAUGGAUGCACCAAUCUAGCAUGAAUACUGGUUUAUUGAAGAUAAAAAUAAUUGUGAAGUUUUCCUUGUUUUGGGUUUUUGCUGUGAUGGAUGUUGUGGUGGUGUCAUACAAUGCAUAACAUGUUUCCAAUUAUGUCAUCGUAGCUGUUGGGGCAGUUGGCACCCAGCUUUAGGAUGACCAUUCCCGUGAUAUGGUUACUUGACAAUUGACAUGAAUACUUACAUGUUUAUGUUUCAUUGCCUCAUUGGUAUACUUCUACAGUAGUAUCUGUUGACUCCUUUAUUAGCUGUCUACUGUGAAAAUAACAUUGUAAGAUGGUAUGGUAUGAUAUAGAGUACAAAACACGAACUUAGUACAUACAUACAUCUGUUUAUAAAUGUAUUUGUGAGCAAGUUUCCUAGUGGGAACAUCCUGUAUUGUAUGUUUGAAACUUUAAAUUAGUAUGCUGUAUUAAGAAAAAAAAUUAUAAUCACAAUGUCACAGAGAAAGCAUUUUGCAGAAAAGUUGUUUUCAUAUAAAAUUCGGCAAAGCGUACGUCUAUGAAGCCUAUCUCAAUAACAUUCAUAACAUGAUUAGUUACAACAACAAAAACUAGGGGUGGCAAAGCGGGCCAGCCCGCCCCGCAUUGGCCCGCCCCGCGCUUGGCCCGCAAAAAUGCGGGUUGGGUUGGCCCGCCCUUCAAAGUUAUUGCGGGCUAGAAUUCUCAACCCGCCCCGCAUAAGAGCUGGCCCGCGGGUUUGCAGGCCAGCCCGCGUUCUUUUUUAUUUUUUUUUAAAUUAAAUAUUUUUAUUUUUUUUUACAUUUUGUUCUUAAAACAUUGUCAAAUUAAACCUAUAUAUUUGCUACUAUCAAACCUAAAUUCUUUUUCUUCCUUUUCAAACAUAAUCAAACAUCAAAACAUUAAGAUAAAUAUCAAAUAUCACUAUUCUUCCACUUCCAAAACAUUAAAAAUACCUAAUUCCAAAACAUUAAACAUAAACAUUAAUUCUAAAACAUUAAACAUAAACAUUAUUGACGCGAUUGUGUUGUGUUUCUUUCUUUAAAAUUUUGUGAAAACCUAAUUGCGUUGCCUUACUGCUGCUAAGUGCCAAUUUUUUUUUUUCUUGCGGGUUAGCGGGCCAGCCCGCCCCGUCCCGCUGCUGGCCCGCAAACCGUGCGGGUUGCGGGCUAAUGCGGGGCGGGCUAAUGUGGGUUAGCGGGUUGAAAAGGUCAGUCUGCCUCUGGUUUUUUACCAGCGGGCCGCCCCGCACGGCCCGCCCCGCUUUGCCAUCCCUAACAAAAACUAGUUGUCCCAAGUCUUAACAUUAUUAGUUAUUAGACUAAAAUUAGGUGGGUAAAAAAUUUGAGUCAUUGGGGGCAAUACAUAGAUUUAAAAUAUUUAAUUUUUAUAUUUAUUAAAAACGAAGCUGUAUAAAUAUUAGAGAUAAUAAACAAUGUUUACAUAUGUGAUUUUGUGGUUUUAAACUGAUUUGCACAUUUUCAAAACAAUGUGAUAGAAGUCAACUUGAUUACUAUAUUCAUACAAACUGUAGAAGUUUAAGAUCAUAUGUACAUAAGAACUGAUGAGGUUAAAUCUUAGGAGUCAAAAGGAGUAUUUGUUAUUUGCUCACUUGUAUACAUCACCUCGUUUAUGUCCAUUGAGCAAUAUAUAACUAUAAAUUUUUAUAUUUACUUAAAUUUUUUAUUGAACCUGUUUAGUGGUAGCCCCUUCAAUUCUUUUUUGCAUGGUUGAUGUAAAUUAUAUACUAUGUACAAAAAAUAAUAUUUUCUUGAGAAUAAGAUUACAGAACAAUUUGUUUGAAUUUUGCCCAAUUUGUUUGUGAUUCUGGUUGGUUUAGACUUUCGAUCAAAGAAUGUAUGUGUGUAAGAUAAAAGUGGAAAAAUGGGUUAAGUUACUUUCUUCCUCAUUUAUCAAUAAAUGUCUAUGGGCAAUUCAGAAUUCACUGCACAAGCAAUUCAAAAGGCACAGUUGUGACAACAAAAAUACUUGUAUCGUAUGUAUGUCUGAAAUGCUGAAUUUGUACUUAGUUGGGGCUAGUUUGGCUCUAGAGCCAGAAUCUCUUAUACCAAAGGCCAGUUUAUAUCAAUGUUAUAAACUGAAGGCAAGGGAUUGAAUUUGAACAAAUUUGAGUAUUUAAAAUGAAAUACAAGAUCAGCCUGCUUACCUGGAAAACAAAAAAGGGUAGGGCAUGGAGGGAGGGACCAAACAGUUAACUACGCUUCUCUUAAAUCUGCUCUCUCAUUACAGUAUUGUAUGGAUUAUAUCUCUACUCCUUUAAAUUGACGAAUUUCUGGUGUCCUCUGCAGUCAAAGAAAUCAAAACGUAGAUUGAGGAAACCUGGCAUUGUCCCUGCGGCUUAUGCCAAAGUAAUGAAGAAGCUCAAUUUUUCUGUUUAGAUAUUGCAAGUUUUGCUGCUGGUUACAGUAUGAAAGAGGACCGGCCAGGUUUUGCAUUUUAACUCCAAUCAUUUGUUGACCUUCAAAUUUUAGAAGAUGUAAAACGAGCAAAUUGCCGAGCAGUUUCUUUUUUCUUUGGAACAGUUAGAAUUGAUGAUAUUUCGAGGUCAUGCUUAUUCAAGGUGGCAUGUUUUAGUUGAUAUUGUGUGCAUUAUUGUUAACAUCCAGUGGCUGAUUGAUCCUUCCAUGUGAUACAUUGGCUUUGGCUUCAGUUUGAUAAAAUAUCUGACUCCUGGAUACAUGUUGUAAUAACGUUUUAAUUACUCAUAAAAACAUAUUAGCGUUUCAAUUAACUUUGGUGUUCGCGUAUUUCGACUGAAAAAGGCUAUUUUUUUUUAUAUAAUCAUAAAGCAGAAACAAAAUUUACAUAAUUAGGUUUAAUGGACCAAUAUUUUUUUUCAAUAAAUAAAUAAAUAAAUUCCAAAGUCAGUCUAUUUUUAUAGUAAAUAAUAAUGCAUUCACUCUUAUACAAAGUUAAUUUGCGCCUUGUAGCAAUGUAUAGGAAUAAUUUGGAUAUUCAUUAUGAAGAGAUACUUAAGCCAAAUUAAAUACUAUUAAAAGCAUUAGAUAAUGAAACAACUAUAUUUUUCACUAAGAAAUAAAGCUAAUCUGAUGUACUGCAGGAUUUUCCUUCAACCAUUAUUUUUGGAUUUACUAUUCCCAUCAGAUACAAAAUCCAAGGACAGUAUUAAAUGCCACAUUUUGCCAAUUUCUUGCCAUGUAACGACUUACAAAGUGAAGUUAUUAUAUUUUUAAAUUAUUCCUUUGCUUUUCAAAUUUUACUAUUUUCUCUGAUAAGAUUUUUGGUUGCAACUUCCAUUUGAUGACCCAAGAAAAUAUGAAGUUUUUAGUACUCAUAUAGCAAUUUUAAUCUCAAUUUCAUGAAAGCCAAUAAUUAAAAACAGUGAAAUUACAAAAUCACACUUAAAAAAAUAAAACAGGGACAUUGCACUGGAUAGAUAUCAUUACGAAUCAUCGUCUUUUGAGUAGACAAUACAAAAUUCUCUUAACGUGGAUUUGUGCUACUCAACAAUAAUUGGAUCUUAUGAAGUUACUUUUAUAUUUAAUUCAUAUAAGUGAUAAAAUAGAUUGAUAGUAAAGUCCAAGUCUUGUUUGGAUUUAUUGGUGUAAGCAUUAAUGAUUGAUCUCUUAAAAUAUCUUUUAAGAUUGAUGAAGUCACUACAAACCUAUAUAGAAGAGAGAUGAAAUUGAAUAUAUAAUGUAAAAGUGUUCAUUUAAUAAAUAAAACUAUAUCUUUUUUUUUUCAAAGUCAAAGAGUUCACAUUUCUCUUUUCAUUAUUCUUCUUUCACUUAUAUUUUCUUUAGAUUAGAGAAUGAAUUUUAAAUAAUUCAAAAGAAAAGUGUAAAACUAGAUUGUUUAGAUUAAAGUAAAUAAACAUCUAUAUUAUCAUUUUUCAUUGUCUUUUCCAUUUUCAUUACUCAUCUUCUCAAAAUUAAAAUAUUAAACUCAUUGAUUAUCACAAACAAAAUCAUAAUAUCAGUUUUGAAUAAUUAUAGUUUGGAUUUUUUUUUCCUUCUUGAAAGUUAUUUGGGAUUUUUGUGUGUGUAUGUUUAUCUUAAUCAAAGAAUAAAUUUUGUAGAGCACAAGAAAUAUUGAGAUAAAGAAGUUAAUAUUGUUCACUUUUACAUUUUUUUAUGUUAAUUAAGUAUGAUUUUUGUAUCUAAAAAAAUUUGGCCAAUAUAAAAGUUAUACAUAAUUUAUAUUAGUUUUAGCUUUCAAUCAAGAUAAAAACUAACAUGAAGCAAUGAUAUUUGGUAAAGAUAAAUAUAAUUAGGUAUCAAAAUUUCAUUUUUUAUUAUCUUGUGGUGUUAUGCUUGAGACUAUAAAAUCAAACUAUCAAAUCACUCUUAAUUGAUGGUAGGGACUUAAUUGCAAAAUAUAAAAAAAAAUUAGAUAUUGAAUAAAAUAUUUUUUUUAAUAGAGAUUCAAUUAAAAAUAAUCAAAUUCAUUAAAGAAUAAAAACUUAAUUAUUAUUUUUAUUUUCCAUGUAAAAACAUAUAAGCAAUCACUACACAAAAUCAAUUAAAAAAAUAUCAAAAAUUUAAUACUUAAUAUAAAAAAUAAUUAAAAAUAUUUUUUUUUAGAUUUAAAAUUUAGUUAAGUGUUUAUGUCUUAUAAGAUGUUAAAUUUUAUAACAUAAAAAAAGAAAUAAAGAGUAAAAAUAUUAUCAAAAUCUAAUUAAAUGAAAAAAAAUAUAAGCAUUGUUAGUAUUCUUCUAGUUUAUGUCUAAUUUAUUUUUUAUAAUUUUUAAUUUUCCACUUGAUUUAGAAAAAUAUAUUCUUUUUCUAUCAUUCACUCAAUUUCUUUCUUCUUUAUGUAAGCAUAUAUCCUUCAAGAAGAAAUCUUCGUCUUUUGAGUAGACGAUACAAAAAUCUUUUAGGGUCUGUUUGUUUCCAGCAAAGAAGAACGCAAUUUUACUGUGCUAGAGAAAAGCGUGAAAAAUAAUGUAAAAAGCACGAAAAUCUAAACAAUAUUUGCACUCUAAACUUUCUUCGCUCAACUGCGAAGAAAGUUGAAUAUAUAUAUAUAUAAUUAAUUAGUUUUAAUUUACUGUUUUAUCCUUUAUAUUUUAAACAAAUUAUUAUUAUUUAUAUUUAAAAUAGAAUUAUAAAUUAAAUAUAAAAAAUAUAUUUAAAAUUAUAUGAAAAUAAUUAUUAUAAAAUAACAUAAUUAAUCAUAUUAUAUAUAUAAUAAAUUAUAAACAUAAAUAAUAAUAACAAUAAAUAUACUUUUUAAGUCUAAAAAAAUAAAUUUAUAUAAUAAUUAUAUUAAUUUAAAAACUUUAAAAUUUAAAAUAAUAAUGUUAUUUAAUAUAAAAAUAAUUUUUUAUCAAAUAUUUAUAAUAAUAAAUAUUUAAAUAACAUUUUUAAUACAAAAUAAUUAUAAUUUAUAAAUAAAUAAAUUAAAUUAAAUUUUUAACAAUUUUAAAUGUAAGGGCAAAUAUGUAAAGUUACAUUUUUAUCAAUUAAAAAAAAUACAAUUUCAAUCAUACCCAUCACAUCACUCACAAACUUUCAUAAACUUUUUUCACACUUUUCACUUUAUUUACCUUAAUCUAAACAUCCUAACUUUCUUUACACUUUCUCCUCAAAAUAUCUCAAAUCCACUUCCUCAUUUCCACUCUUUAAUCCAAACAAAGCAUUAAUGUGGAUUUGUGCUACUCAACAAUAUUUGGAUCUUAUGAAGAAACUUUUAUAUUUAAUUCAUGUAAGUGACAAAAUAGAUUGAUAGUAAAGUCCAAGUCUUGUUGGAAUAUAUUGGUGUAAACAUUAAUGAUUGAUCUCUUAAAAUAUCUUUUUCGAUUGAUGAAGUCACUAAAUUCUUCAAUCUCUUCAAAUAUUCUUUAGCACAAGAAAUUGUAAAUUUUAAUUUUUUAAUCCAAACAAAGCAUUAAUGUGGAUUUGUGCUACUCAAUAAUAUUUGGAUCUUAUGAAAAAAAAAUUAUAUUUAAUUCAUGUAAGUGACAUAAUAGAUUGAUAGUAAAGUCCAAGUCUUGUUGGAAUAUAUUGGUGUAAGCAUUAAUGAUUGAUCUCUUAAAAUAUUUUUUUCAAUUGAUGAAGUCACUAAAUUCUUCAAUCUCUUCAAAUAUUUUUUAGCACAAGAAAUUGUAAAUUUUAAUUUUGAAAAUUUACGUCCUACUGAAGCUAUAGUAACACGAAUAAUUGAAAUAUUUAUAAGUUAUCUCUACUUCUUGAAGAUACUUUACCUUCUCUACAAUAUUUAAUAUUUCAAGUUACAUUUUACUUAUAUAUAUAUAUAUUAAAUUACUUCAGAAUGCAGUUUUUAAUUUUCAUAAUGGUUAAAAAAAGUUAAAGCUCCGUUUUACAACUUGAAGAUGGAAGUUCAUUAAAUAGGUUCAUCCAUAAAAGUUUUAAGAGAGAAAAAAGGUAAAUUAUCCUUGCACCUCCAUACUUUUCCAAUGUAUUUUCAUAUUUUUUUUAAUUCGGAAUGCAUUUUCAUAAUUUUUUUAAUUCGGACAAUACCCUUCUAAAUAAGGAGUAAAGUAUAAUAUCUUCUUCAUUUUCAAGUGAUGAUAAUUACUUGUGAUGGUUGCUUGGAGUGACUAGUGCGUUGGUGAUUGAGAUAAGUUUUAUAGUGUUUUUUUACUAGUGGUAGUUGUGUUUUCGUUCGCUUAUUGUUUUUUUUUUCUUCAUUUUUUAGAAGUCACAAAACUAAAAAUUGUAAAGUAGUUAGUUUGAAAAAUGGAAUACACAACUCAAAAAUAAUUUAUCUUUACAUUGAAAAACAUCAAAUACAACGAAUAUUCUCUCAAACGUUGUGGCAGGAAAAGAAUAAAAGUGAUGCGACUGGAAGGGAGGUAUGAAAGUACAAUUGAAGUUAUUUAAAAAUAUAAAGUUAUGCUUUAUUUAAAUUUUUUAAAAAGGUUUAAACUGAAUUUUCAUAAUUAAUAUGGAGGUGGAGGAAAAAAUUGUCAAGAAAAAAUGAGAUUAGCAACUUCCUCGAGACGAUUUAAAGACUUUUGUCAUGUUUCAAAAUUUUAAAAUGGUGUUCAGAGGAGGAUAAGGAUACUAUUUCUUUUCAUUUAAACUUAAGGAUGUUAUGAAUUUGAUUUUAAGAUUAAGACCAUUUUAGCCUAGAUUUUAUGAUCAAAAGUUUAAUAAACUUCUCUGCAUAAUACAUCUCUUCUUCCAAACAUAUUUUUUUACAAAACUUAAAGAACUUAGUAUGGCUUCCAAUAUAAUAUUACAAGAAAUGGUGCUUAUGUUCUCACUCUUCGUGUGUAGCAAUAAGGUAUGCAAUGGAAGGUAUGGCAUUUCAAGGAAUGUCCUGAAAUCGCAGCUGGGACUUAAUAUGGUAGAGAUUAUGACAGAGGUGUCCACAAUUUCAGCCGAUUACUGCAAGCAAACUUUGUCUGACUGCUGGAAUUGAGCAAAGUAUAGAUCCAAAUAUACCAUUCAGAGCAUAAGCAAUGGCACAAAAUGGAAGAGCCUCAGGUUCCUUGGCAGAUAAAGCUGCUGUUCCAAGCCCAUGAGAACUGCAUAUAUUGAUCCAAGAGCAAGAAAUAUAUAAGCAUAUAUGCUUCAAGAAGAAAAUAGUUUAAUCUACCUUAAUGGCUUUUUUCUAAAGUAAUCAGAUUUUUCCAUGUCCAAACUACUACUAAGCUAAAUUAGGCACAGUGCACAUUCAAAAGCACUGUUUAAAGACUAUUGCUUAUGAUGGUAAUUGAAGAUUGGUCUGCACUCUGCAGACAUCAUGGUUUCUUAGUCAAAUGAAGUAUCUAUGAAUUACAAAAUAUACCUUGACGCGGUUGCUAUGCCACGAGCAAUUGGGUCACGAAGACGGAGUUUAUCAAGUGUUGAUUGCGCAAAAUUUGCACCAACUAAACCAGUCACUACAACUGCAGCUGCUGUGAUUGAUGCAUUGGCACCUGCAGACAUGGCAAAAUUUCGAAGAUGAAAUCGCUUCUGCUUCAAGAGGAGGCAUGGUAACAAACUAGGAUUUCGUAACCUUUUUACAUUUAUUGAAUUAAAUCCAAUUUAGAUUCACUGUAUACAUAAUGAUUGUGACAAGUGACCAUGCAUAACAUGAUGUUUUACCUUCAAAAAGAGACACAAUGCUGAGAGCCAACGCCACUGUUAUACAUCUGGGUAGAAUGGAUACAGUUAGGGAUGGUUCUAAAGCAACUAGACGUCCAACAAGGGCAGUUGAAUACAAUGAGAAUAUGGUAGAGAUUAUGACAGAGGUGAAAAUCUCAGCUGCAUGCCUCUUUACAAGCUGAACACAGUAGAUAAAUCAUUAGUCAAUGCUUUAAUGGAUUUUAGCCAUUGUUAAUUAUAUGGAUGGAGAAGACAAUGAAGACUUUGGCUACAUGAGCUUAUCUGAAUAUAUAUUUGUUCAAUUCAAGUAAGAUCAAACUCUAUAAAGUCAUUUGCAAAUAACUAUCCUGUUCUCCUUAUAAAGGUGUUUUCUAAUUUGGCAAGAGGAAAAAAAGAAACAGAUUAAAGAAAUAACAAAAAAGAACAGUAAAAGUGGACGAGCAUGCAACACAAUUGAUUAUGCUAUACACAUAAUUGACUAUAUUGCUAAAAUAAUAGGUGUUCUGAAGUGUUUUUUGUAUACAUAAUCGAAUACAGGACACCCAUAAUUAAUUAUGGGACACCACUAUCGAUUAUAACUUUUUCUUUUAUUAUUUUUUGUUUUUUCUAUUAUUAUCUUAUUUUUUACUACCUUUCAAUUCAUUUCUUUUUAUCAUUUUCUAGUCCUUCACUUUCACACCAUCCAAGCAGUAGUGAUCAUUAGAAAUCUAGAUGGUUACCUUUCUUUGUUUGAACAUAGAGAAGGCAAAUGAGAGAAUAACAGAUCCCAAAAAUCCCAUUAGAAUGUCACCGGCACCAGGAUUGGAUGAUGAGUUUGUAAGGUAAUAUCCUGUGAGUGUCAAAAGAAGAAUCAGCAAAAUUAUAUCAAAGCUAAGUCAUAGAUGUUAGUGUCUAUAGAUAAAUUAGCCCUAGACUUAGUGCUACACUUCUACAUUAAUGUUGUUACGAGACCAUAAAUCAAAUCAAAUAGUGUGAUCUUAGCUCAAGAGUAACUGUCAGUUAUUUUCUUAUAACUCAUUGUCAUACUAAAAUUUAAUUAAUGAUUAAUCACAUUUGAACUUAACAUGGGGAGUGGGAAAAGGCUUUAAAUGCUUACAGUAACUCAUAAGAUGUCUGUAGUCAAAAUAGAAAUUUCUAUUUCCUAGUUAAAGUAGGCCAUCAAAGAACAACUUAGUGCUCAUUUGGUUUACCAGUGCAAAUGCUCCAAACUAUGUUUGAGCAAAAAGAAGACUUUUUCUUCGAGAAAUCUUGCAUCAUAAAACUCAAAUUUAACUUUUGCAGAAAUUUGUAUCCAAAACAAAUAGGCCCUUAUACAAUAUAGAGUUGAAUAUUAACUUUAACUAAAUUUGCACCUAAAACAGCAUCAAGCCCUGACUUAGAAAGAAACCCCAAUGCAAUUGCUGCUAGCUCUGCAGAUGCUGCACAAAAAAUUAUUGGGUGGAAGACCUUCUUCAAGCCUGAUGGCAAUCUGAAAACAAAGGGAGGGGAUAAGAAAAGGCAUAGCUACAGUUAGUUCUAAUAAAAUCCAAAUACAAUGUUCCAUGACAGUAUCACAUUUUUUCUCCAUCUAAAUCAUAAACAAAGAAAGAAAAAGUAACUGCCCCCAGAACCAGCCAUGUAAAGAGUUCAAUGUAUAUGCAGUAAUGAAAAUGAACCUUUACCCUGAACCAAUCAUGUAGCCUAAAACUGUAGACGCAAGCAAGAAUGGAAGAUAUGUUCUGGCUCUUGUCCCCAAUGCUGUUGGAAAAACCAAUGAAGCAGCAAAGGAUAUAAGGAGAACCCCAGUCCAUGCCCACACUUCAAUGGAAGAAAAUGGAGAUGGCCUCUCCAUAGGCUCAGCAUCGAUCAAUUCUGUCUUCACAGCUUUCCUCACACCUAUAGCUGUCAAACCAGUUACACAAAGUGUAGCUAGCCAUCCUCCAACUGCAAAAGUUCAACAAGUCUCAACUCUCAUAAUGAAAUUGUAACAUUUAGACUCUAUUUACAUAAACUUCUCCGUAAAAAAUUAUAGGUGAAAACAUUAAGAAGACAAAGUGAAUUGUGUUCAGAAUCAACUUCUGCAAUUAACUUAUUUUCCAUCUAUCCUCGGUACUUAUGAGAAAUUUAUCCAAAUAAGAUCUUAAUUACACAUACACACAGACACCGUCAUCGUUACAAGAAUGCUUGAAACAUCAUCAUCAUUGUUCACCAUCAUGAUCAUUCGAAUAAGAGCUUGUCCAGUAAUCUAUACCUACAAUAAGGCAUAUUUUGAUUGCCGAAGAAGCGGGAAUAUCUUUAAGAGAAAGGGGAAGCACAACCAAAUAGGGAACAUAGAACAGAGGGAGCCAUCUAUGAAUGAAAAUAAUUCCCGGUUCAAAGAACUUCUCGAAGGCCACAGCAGCAGAGGGCACCGCAUAAUCAAGAAUGAUCAGAACAGAGAAAAUACAGAACAUCCCAAACAAGGCGCUAGGGAACUCGAUUGAAGCUGCUGCAAAGGCUUUCUUCAAGAGAAAAUCAAUAGCCAGAAUGAGGCCAAGGGAAACAACCCAAUGUAGCACCCCAAACACUCGAAGACGCAAAGUUUGGGUGACGGACUCAGUGGAAGUGGAAGUGCCCCCUGUUUGGGAUUGGAGUAGCUCUGUGCAAAGUUCUUCACUUUUGCAACUUUCUGGGGUACCCAUUUGCUAACAACCAUAAAUUGAACACAAUACCUCGAAUUGAUUGUGCAAACUGCGGAGGAAUCGUUAUCUUAUAAGUGGUGAUCGAAUACAGAAAAAGACAAAAUACAGAGUGCAAAUUCCACACGUCGGUUUUAGAAUUGGACGUCUCGAAACAAUUUGCAUAUGAUGUUAAAUUAAUAUUCUGAGUUUUAACACAAUAAAUUACUCCCAACUAAUUUUCAACGCAUGAAAAUAUUCAUGGGAUCAACAACAGAUCCAGAUAUUUUCCUUUCAUUAUAAAAGACUGAGUUAAUCUCAUCCUAUCUCAUAUGUCACGUGAUGUUAGGACCCUUUUUUUUCAAAAGCAAUGUAAUCAUUCCAUUCUUCUUUCAUGAGUCUGACUAUAGGUUGAACAUAGAAUAUACCAAUUACUGGUAAGAGAAAAAAAAAUCAGUACGCAAGUAUAUUUUAUUAGGAGAUAUGCAUGGUUGAAAUUUUUGAUGUGAUAUCAUGACAUAAUGUUCUUCAAUACUUUACUAGCUCUCAUGAAUGGUUAGACAAGUAUGAAUUACAUUCACUCAACAAAUUAUAUGUUCAGAUUAUCCACUAUCCAAAAUUUUCCUCGGUAAUUUUCAGUGUAACAAUUGACGCGAGUCUUGAGCAAAUGCAUUAUAGUUUAGAAGUCAAGCAAUUCCGCAGUUGCUUUCUUAGGAUCUUCCCGGUUGCAGACCUUGGUAUGUGGUUGGUGAAGAACACUUUCCUAAUCUUCUUAUAUGGAGCAACCUGCCACAAAACAGUUACAAAUGGGACAAAGUCUUAGUAGCCAACAGUAACAUAGCAUAACAUAAUUCAAAUAGUAGAAACUAGGCUGUUAUUUUAUAUUGUCGUCAAAUCACAAACCCAAAUGUAUGGUAAGUUUGGUGAUCCUUACGAUUACAAUCUUAAAAUUUUUGACAAUGUAAAACCAUUUUACAUUAUCAGUGCAUGACCAUUAAACUCUAAAAAUAGUGGCUAGCUGAUGUAACACCUUGACCAUGAUCAUAAAUGUGAAACAUUCCUAUAGACACUAUUGUAUUGAUUCAAGAGAAAAUGUGAACUGAAAUAUCAUAGAUAGCACUUAAAAGUCUGCCUUAUCAAGACGAACCUGCUCAGCAACAUAAUCCAUAACAUGCUUUGGAGACAGCACACUUCCAACCUUCUUUACUACAAAUGCCACUGGCAUCUCACCAGUUUCUUCAUCCAUAGCACUGAAGUGGAAAAUGAUGCAAUACUUCAGGGUAUAUUUUAAGGGCCAGAGAAGAACAUUUAGAGUAUGAUGACUAAUAUGUACAUGCAGUAGCAUACGAAGAUAUUUUGAUCUUUUAAAAAACACAUGCAGGGGGAAGAAGUGAGCUAUGAAACAAGGAUACUUCUCUUGCUUAAGGUGCUGGAAUGUCAGACAUGUUUCUCCUUCCAGAAGCUUAUGCAACAUCUGUCUGACAUUCAUCAUUUGGUAUCUAUUUAAAAAAUAUUUUUCAUGCUGGCAAUUCUAUUUCAGACUUCACACACUAGAGUCAAAAUGAACAGUUGGACACUAGUAUUAAAAAAAAUAUACUUUUAUCUAAAAUAUUCAGAAAUAUUAGUUUAAAUGUAAUACAAAAUAUUUAAAAAAAAAACAUGUUUAGGCUCAUUAUUAUAAGAUGAAUAUACAAGAAUAUGUACAUAUAUAAGUCUUAAUUAUCAUUUUAGACCUUUUGCUAUAUCCAGUGUGUGUUUCAUGGAGUUCAUACUUACCCUAUAACAGCAACAUCAACUAUUUCAGGAUGCAAAAUUAACACAGCUUCUAAAUCAGCAGGAGCAAUCUGUAACAGAUCAUAAGCCACAUGUAAGAAUAUAAACAAACAACACAAAAAUUGUAAUUUAGAAAUUAAAAAAAAAUCCUCCCUAUGAUUGAAAAUUGUGCAAUAUAGACAAUUGUUUGGGGAAAAUACAAUGCUACCGCCCAAAAAGUAAAGUUUCUAAAACUGGCAUCUCAACUAUACAACAAGGUUUGCAGUUUCUUCUGAGAAUAUAUAUCAAAAUCCAACAAUUUCCCAGUCAAUAUUUUUAUUUUUUUACUACAUACUUUAUGUCAUUCUAAGCUGAUCUAUAUUAUAUUUAAGAAACCCAAUAAGCAUUUCAUGUGUUCCUCUGAACCAAAGGUGCACUAUAUCCACACAGUGUGCAUUGUUGUCAACUUCUGAAUGUAUUGUAUUUAUUUAUUUAUUGUCCAAGGGAGAUCCCAACCCAUCAGGAAGGGGCAGGGAUGGGUUUUGAACAUUCAGACGCAAAAUCUGCUUGUCCUACAAUCGAACCAACUAAGCUGUCUCAAGGGAAAAGUUACAUAUUUGUAUGGAAGCAAGAGAAAAGGCUGUUAUUUAUUAAGGAUUUUUUUUUUGCUUUCUGUUUAAAUUAAAAUUAGAUACCUGAAAGCCCUUGUAUUUGAUGAUAUCUUUCAAUCGGUCAGCUAUGUAUACGUAUCCAUCAUCAUCAAAAUAAACAACAUCUCCAGUAUGUAGCCAACCAUCUCUAUCUAUUGUUGACAUUGUAGCUUCUUCAUUAUUCAAGUACCCUGAGAAAAUUUCAAAUUAACGUAUUUCAAUUGAAAUAUCAAUAAAAUAGGCAAAGAAAAAGGUAUUAGCAGAUAGGCUUGACUUGAUUAGAUUUAGGAACAACAAAGGAACAGACAAGAAAACACCUCUAACAUUGGAAAAUCACAAACAAGAAGUCACAACGACAAUUUUUACCAGAGAAGAACUUUUACCUAAUCUAAACAAACAAAAAACUUUAGGUAACAUUUUAGUGGCAAAGACAUGACAAUUUUUAACUGAAAAAGCAACAAUGGCAGCAACUUCUUAUUGUAAACAUUAAAACAAGCGAUUUAAAAUGUGUGUUUGGUUCCAAGUUAUUUUGAAGAAAUAACCACUUAUUUUCAUAAUUUUUCAAUAAAUCUUAUUGAAAAAUAAGCAAUUAUUUCAGAGUAAUAAAUUGUUCCCAAACACACCAAUAAAUAUAGAACUUAUUUUUCCUCCAUGAUGAUAUAGAGCUAUUCCUGUUUCAAAAGUAGAUACUUUUGUACCUAAUUGUAUAAAGGUAGGCACAUAUUUAUGACUAUCUACAUCACCUAAAUUAUCAAUUGGCUUGAAAAAAUCGUCUUUUAGUUGCUCCACGCCACCUACUGAAAAACUUAGGGGAGUUCCUAUAUCAAUCACUUCCAUUCCUCUCAUUAGACCAUAUGUAGCACUCAAUCUCAGUUACAGCUCUAACUCAAUUAUUUCCUAAUAAUUGUUCUACUUGACAAGUCAUGUUAAUUUGUUGACCAACAGCAUCUCGACCCUUAACUACAAGACUGUUAAUUUGUUACAAACACUAACAGAUAAGCUUAUAAUAUCAUUCACUAGAAGAACAAUAAACUUAAAUGGAGCUUCAGAGCCUUGUCAAAUAUUUUAUACACGGUAAAAUCGGAAUUUUUUCUAUUUCAUUUCAAUUAAGGAAAACAGAGUUUUACCCGUCAUAACUGAAGACCCUCUCAACCAAAGCUCACCACUGCUGCCAGGAGGCAAAAAUGCACCAGUAUUCCAGUCUACCACUUUUGCCUCCAUGUUUGGAGCCAAUAACCCUAUUGAAGAAUAAUUUCGAAACUUUUCAGUAUUGAAGCCACGUGUUCCAACGGCAGUUGACUCAGUCAUUCCAUAACCCUAAAAAGAAACAUUCUUACGGCUGCACAUUCUUAAAAAUCUAGCAAAACAACAUUACCAUAAACAAACAAAAGUCCAAGUAUAGAUGUACUUGAUGAGAAUAUUAACAGCACUAUCAGAGUAUUUGUUAUUACACAAAAGUUAAAAGCUCAUAAGCAGAAAGAAGGGGAACUUCACAUUUUACAUGGCUUCUUGUGUGUAGUGUAUCUGUUUCAAAAUAAACUGCACAAGUUUUUUAAAGAAUUUAUAGUGUUUCAUUUCAUUUAUCACAAUUUAUCGUAACAAUAUGAAAUGAAUUGGAAUCAACAUAUUUGGUAUUGACUCUAGCAAUUAGAUGAAUGCUGGCAGAUGACUUGCAUUGUUUGAAUAAGACUAUCUUGUUCAGAGGUUCUUUACCUGUAUAAAAUCAACAUUGGGGAAAGUUCGGAGAAAUUCAUUAACAACUCCUGAGCUCAAAAGCGCUGCACCACUAGAGACCUGUAUCAAACUCUGCAACUUACUGUCAUUAACACCGUUUGCCCUCAUUAUCAAUGCGGUCAACAUCGGCGGAACAACAGGAAAGUGUGUGACUUUAUAUUCAUCGAUCACCCUGACAACCUCGUCUAUGUCAAAUUUUCUCAUCACAACGACAGUAGAACCCAAAGACAACAAUCCCAGAGCAAAUAGCGACAAGCCAUACACAUGGAACAUUGGCAAAACAGCCAGAUACACAUUCCUCAAGCAAGAGCCUUCAUAUUGAGAAGCUUCAAACCUCACAAAAAGCUCAACCAUAGCAAUAAGAUUUUUAUGUGACAGAACAACCCCUUUGCUCACCCCAGUAGUCCCUGAAGAAUACAAUAUGCCAGCAGCGUCAUCCUGCUUGAUAACAGGCCUCUGAGGCAAAUCAAAGUCACAAGAAAUCAAGUCACAAAAGCAUGAAAAACAACCAUAUCUCAAACCCUUCUCGUUUUCUGGCACGGCAAUAACAGAAAUUCCCAAUGGCUCUAGUUUCUUGAAAUUUUCAGGCACGGUAAAAGCCACACUCACACCACACUCAGCAACCUGCCUGCGUAUUUCAUAGACACUACUAAGAGGGUUCAACGGUGUGACAAUAGCUCCUAGAUAGAGAACACCCAAGAACACAAUGGGAUAGUAAAUGGAAUUUGGAAGAAGAAUCAGAACCACAUCACCUUGAGAAACACCCAUUUUGUGAAGACCAGAGGCAACGGAUUUGACUAAAGGUAGCAACUUUGAGUAGGAAAUGGAACACCCAGAGGAGAAAUCAACGAGGGCCGAAACCCCAUCAUGGCGGUGGGAAAAAAUGAAGGAGACAACGUCGAGAAAAGGGUCGCUGGGAAGGUCCACAGGGGCAUGCUUGCUAUGGUAAAUGCCAGAUUUUGGUGAAAACCAUUGAGGGUGAGCGAUUUGCAUGCCGCAGUCUACGUUUGCAGCCAUUGACAGCUAUGUUUGAGUGAAGUGGAGUGUGGUAUGAAGAUGGCAGCAAAGGAACAUGCAGAUGAUGAUAAAAAAAUGGAACAAUGGAAUGAAAGAAGGAAUCAAUGAAUGUAAAAAAUAAGAAAGAAUGAUCGAAUCUGGGGUUCCGGCGGGAACUACUCCACACUGAGUUUCAUUGGCAUUCUUUCACCACUACAAACAAACUUCAUUUUUAUUAAUACCAUUUCUGAACAAAAUACUUACCUAGGAACUUUAAUCAAUAAAAUGUGUGAAACUACCACUAAUGGCAUCUACAAUGUUGAUUAUCACUUAAAUUAAUCUGAUUUUUUAUACUUUCCAUUAUAUCACGCUUUUUUAGAUUUUUGUUCAAAUUUUAAGAGUUUUACAAAGCUCAAACCCUUCCUAAUGUUUUAUUUCCUUAUUCAUAAAAAUAUAUAUUUUCAAAAGAGAAACUUUUUUAUUCUUAUUUUUUAUAAUUCAAUAAAAAUAUAUAUUGAUAUAUAUCUUAAUACAACAACUUUGAUUUUAUUAGUUUUAUUUUUCUUGAUUUGUUUAGUAAUUGUAAAGUGUAUUUGUUAAGAAAAUAUUAAUGUUAACAUGAAAUAAACUUGAAGGGAAGAAUUUUAAAUUUAGAAAGUUAAUUAAAUCAACCUUAAUAUGCAAUUAAGGUUGAAGGGAUACACGGAGAAAUUUUAUUUUACCAAACAAAAAGCAAAUGAUAAAAUACUCCCCUCAAUGAUAAUUGCAUAUUAAAGACGUUUUCUUUCAAGACAUGUAACAAUAUUAAAGACCAAGAAAAACUUAUAUCACACAAGCUAUUAUAUAAAUGAGUGUAUAGAUAGAAAUUGGGAUUAUAUUUUUUUAUAAUAAGAUUUUAUUGAAGAUAACAUUAAUUAUAAGAUAACUUAUAUAUAUAUAUAUAUAUAUAAAUUUAUAUCUUUAUAAUUAUUUAUAAUAUAUUACAAAAAUAUGUUAGUUUUAUACUAUGAUAAGAGUUUUACGUUAUAAUAAAGAGAGUAUCUAUAUAUUUAAUAUUUUAUGAAAAUAUUAAAACUAAGUCCUUCUUAAGUUAAUACUUAAAAAAAACAUGAAUAAAAGUGAGGUAUUUGUAAGCCUUAAAUGUCAAUCUUAAUGAGAUUAACAAACGAUAUUGAAUAUGGGUUUGGGAUUUGACUUACAACCAUAAAACUCAAUAUCAGUAUGAAACGUAUGCGUCCAUAUUCUACUUUUGAAGUGAACAUCAAAAGUUACUCAUGAAAUGAUUAAGUAGUUGAAUAUUUCUCAUUAAAAAUAUUGAUACAGUAAUAAUUAUUUUUUUCAAGAAUACUUCAACCUACAAGAAAAUAUAUACUCACUAUCUAACAUUAGUGCCAGUAUCAUAGUCCAAAGUUUGGUAUAUGAAUAUCCUAGUCCAAAGCCUUAUAACUUCCCAAACAUUGACAUUCAUACAUUAUUUUACUCUCAACUCAUUGUAACAAAAUCUAUGUCUCUUUCUUAAAUGAGAUACUCUUUGACAUUUCUAAGAAUAACGUAACAUGAUGAUUAUUAAAAUAUUUUAACCAAUAAUUUAUACACACCAUUCAAAUAAAUGCAAAAGUAUAACAAUAAUAAUAGAGUAUAUGGAUAAUUUUCUUUUAUCCAAGUUCACUAAAUACAAAAAUAUUUACUUUAACUUUAUUUUUAUUAUUACUUUCUUUGUUAUUUUUUCAGAUUAUCAAAAAGAUUAUGUUUAAAACAAUACAAAAUAAAAUAAGAAUCAAAGCAAAAAAUUAUACAUGAGUCGAUAUAUCACAAAUAAAUAAAUAAACAAAAGUAUAAAGUAACAAUGAGAACCAAUCUCUAACGGAUAUAAAUUGAAUGACAUAGUUAUAAAUUUGAUAAAGAUGACAAUGUGUAAUUAGGGAUACGUUAAUUGAAAUAAUUAUAAAUUAAUAAACAUGACCACUGUAAUUAAAAAUAAAUUAAAUGACAUAAAUGUAAAUAAAUAAACAUGACCAAUGCAUACUUAGAGAUUAAAUUAAAUAUUAAAAAUAUUAAAAAUUAAGAAAAUGAAAUAAUAUAUAAUUAAAGUUAUUUUUAUUGAUUAAAGUAAUUAUUUUCAAAGUUAUUUUUGAUUGAUUGAUGUGAUUAUUUUUCAAUAUAUAUCAACCAUUUUUUCUCUCAAUGUUUACAGUAUUGAAGCAAUAAUCUAAUAAUAAUUAAAAUAUUUUAUCAAAAUAAAAAAAAAAUUAUUUUAAAUUAUUUGAUCAAAACAAAACAUUUGAAAAACUAAUCUAUCUAAAAGGGAAAGCAAAUUUGUAAAAUUCUUGGUCCAAUAAGGUAAAUAUUUACCAGCUCCUUGGCAAAAAUUAAAUGUUUCAUUACUUACUACCUUCAUUCCCUCCCUUCUCAUUCAAUCAAAUUCGCGGAGUAUGAACCUAAAAACUAAAAACUAAAAAAACAAGAUUCAUUUCUAUAUUGAUACUUACUUGAAUGUCAUGGAGAACAUUCUAUUAAAAACAUUAUUAGUGGAAUGUUUUUUUUUUCUCUUCACAUCAUACUAUAAUACUUCUAAAGCGACCCAAAUUGACUCCAAAGAUGACAUAAAUUGAAUAACUUUCAUAAAAGCAAAAUUCUAGGUAAUGAUAAUAAUAACCUAUUAACCAGAAUAAAUUGUUUUGACAAACAUUCACAUCUUCCUAGGAGCUUGCUCAAAGUAAAAUCCUGCUACCCCACAUUUGGAUGAAACCAAACCAUUUACAUGUAAGGAGAAAAAUCAUUUACACUUGAAAUGGAUAGAUAAAAACCCAAAACAGAUCUAAGUUCACUGGAAAUACUAAAUUUUCGGCAAGUCUCAAGCAAACUGGUUGAUUGGUAUGCAGGAGUUGAGUUCAAGGCUAAACUUAGUACUGAUAAACAUAAUGGGGAGGGGAGGGAGGAUGGUAUUGGUAGUAAUAACCUGGUGGAUACUCAUUAUAUUGAGGUGGUAGUGCGGGUUCAAUGAUAUGAUGGGGUGGUGAUAGUUGAGGCAGAUGAUGGGGUGGUGACAGUUGAGGCAGAUGAUGGGGUGGUGAUAGUUGAGGCAAAUGAUGGGGUGGUGGCAGUUCAGGCAAAUGAUGGGGUGCUGACAGUUCAGGCAAAUGAUGGAGUGCUGACAGUUCAGGCAAAUGAUGGGGUGGGGAUGGUAUAUGCAAAUGAUGAGAUGGGAAUGAUUGAUCCAGAUGAUGGGGUGGGGAGGGUGAACUAGGCUCAGUCGAUGGAGAACUAGGAGCAGCAGUUUGUUGUUUAUCUACUUCGAUUUCAAUCAAUUCCUCUUCAACCUCAAAUGACCUGAAGAUUGGAUGCAAGUAAGCAUCAGCCAAAUAAGCCUUUAUGUUCAAGUCAGGUUCUGUGCUCUUCUCCAAUAAAUCCUUUGACAUUGCUUCCUGAAUAGAUUAAGAGAAAUCAGUUUUCCAUACAACCAUCAACUACGAGAAAUCACAUAAUAUGUAGCCACCUUCAAAGAAGAACAAAAGGAAGCUUAGUGUAGAGAAUUCUACUACACUGUUCCAAAGGUUUUGUAAUUUGGAAUAUUGGCUUAUUGCAUGGUGCAUAUCUUACCUCAAUCGGGUACUUCCGAAAUGCUGGCUCAAAACGUCUCUGGCAGUACUUGUGGAAUGCAAAUGUCAAUACUGGUAAUAUAACAAGCAAAGGUGUGGAUUUAGCUGCCUUUUUGGUGCUAAGCAAUCCCAAUAGAAGAAACUGGGAUAUUAGCAUGCUUGCAAUGAUGCGGCUGUGAACAAGUGGCCAAAAUGCAGCAGCACUUUCAUACUGUUGGUUGUAGACAUUGAUUAUCUGCAUAAUUAAACAUCAUGUAAAGUUAUAUUUAGGCUACACCACAUCCUGUUUCAUUGUGUUGGCACACAAAAAUGUUACAAGCUCAUGAGCAAUAUACCCUCAUACAGAUUACAUGCAACACGCUUAUUUUAAUGGACAUAAUAACGAUUGCUUUUAUGUAAUUAUUACUUAUGCUAUGGUUUGGCAACUUCUGACAAUUCCAAAGGACCAAAAUCUAAGAAAUCUUCAAGCUACUGCAAGUCAAAUUAGCAAAAAGAGGCAUGUUUUAAGAUGACACUAGCGGAGACACUGACCUGAUGACGAUAAACCAAAUAUGCAAAGGCAAAGAAGACUAGUAUGAAGGGAAGAAGGAUCGGUGUGACCACAGCGUACACAAUUCCAAGAAGGAAGUAUAGUUGAAGACUUGGAAUAGUCUCUGGAAAGUCCACACUCCCAGGGUCCAUGGCCUUUCCUUUAUCUCUUUCUGUUUUAACUAUGAACAUGUUCUUGAGAUGGUAUAUAACCAAUGGCUUUAAUCUGAGAAUCUCACUAGCAAUUCCAGCCCAUCCAUCAACCAUUAUGUAUGUCAUAAAGAAGGUAGCCUUCAUUGGAAUGGAAACUCCAAUUGUUCUAGGAAUCCUAUAGACAAUGAUAAGAUUCACAAGAUGAAUGCAUAUGUACGAGUACUCUUUAGCAACAGAAGAAAAAACACCAAAAAUAAUUAAAGAAAGGUAAAAGAGAUUUAUCAGAUACAGUGUAAGAUUCAAUAAUGUUACGAAAAGGUUAUGGCAUUUAUUGCAUUAAAUAUAUGUAACUGGAAAGUUGGUGUGCAACAUUAGAGAAUAUCUAAACAUAAUAUAUUUCCAGUCAGACAUAGCUUUAACACAAAACUGCUUAAUUAAAGACAUACUGUGUAGGUGACUGGUGAAGGAAAGCAUGCAGUUGUUGAAAUGCAGUUCCAGUCACUAUGCUUCCCAAGAAAACAUUCACCAGCAUAAAGUAAUAAUAUUUUGCAGCUGUCUUCCGCUCAAGAGUUGACAAUGCAGUAUAUCCCUCAAUUUUUGACAUGAUCAUCAGAACUGAUGGUAGAAUGUACAAAAAUACUUUAAGAGCCAAACCAGGAAGAAAACCUUGUAGAAAGGACUUGAUGAAGUUCCUGUCAAAAGCCAAAAAAUCUGUUAGGCUAACCAUAAGGCAUUUGAGCCAGUAAUGUAUACAGUAUACCAUGUUCUAAUUUUACAACUGAAAAUUCAUCAAAGUAGAAUAAAUGAAGAAAAUAGUGUAUAGAAAAGAUAGAUGAAUUAACAAAACCAAAUAGGAUAAAUCAACCUAUUUAGUAAUUUCUGAAAUAGAAGAUAACGAAUAUCUGCUUUGCACUAAGGUAAAAUAGUAAAUUCCAAUGCCUUGAAGACAUAUACAUCAUUUAUUACUGGGGCCCUGAUUAGUUUCAAAAAACUAAACUUAACAAAUAAAGAUUGAGCAUUAUAUAUUCUACCAUAGAAGCUAAAACAGUUAAUGAUGAAAUUCUAGAACAAUAUAUAUCAACUUCUAGAUUAAUUACCUUCUCUACUUAUAUCCAAAAAGAAAUUUAAGUUCACUUACAAUUCUAUAACUGGUCUGAGGAAGGGAGCAACUUUUUCAAGACCUUCCAAAUUGGCAAGGGAUUGCACAAAAGCAAUGGGAAUCAUGUAGAAGAAUACCAAGGCAAACACAGACAAUGUUAUUACAAGCUUCCGGAUGCUUAAAGAAACAAAUGGUAUGGCUAAGUUUCGCCAAUAUACAUCACGUGGCUCAGGAGCCCAAUCAGUUAGCCAGAGUGUUGGAUUCUUGCUUUGUUGGGUUUGUGCACAAACCGAUGCUCCCCAACGGGAAUUGAAUGAAAGAAAAGCAACUGGCAAAAUAGCUUUGGGAUCUUUUAUAACUCUCUGGCGUUCCGAUGUCAUCUGCACAUGGUAUGCAGUAUAGCUAUAUUACAGUACCUCGAUUUCAAUAAUGGAAGCAUGUGUAUUAGCAUAAGGACACAGAGGAUUACCAUACAGAAGGUAACAUGCCACAGAAAAGAGAAAAACACCCGACUUACCAGGUUAUCAAGUUCCUUAAUUGCAUGUUUGUAGUACUCAAUCGCAUCAACUUUCCCACCCCAAAGGCCUAAAAAUCCAGUCUAAAGGGAAAAAUAACAAUGUCAGAUUCAGGUUCCAAACAGAUUAUUAGUUACAUUCCUCACAAUUACAUAUCUUGGUGCAGAUAAAAGAAAUACCUUGACGGUGGACCUUUUGUCAGGAUGUCUUUCAAACUUAAGCUGGUAAUAGUCCAGCCAAUUUUGGAGUCUAUCUCUUCUUUUCGAUAAUUUAGCAAAUUUAUUUGCAUUGUAGACAGCCUGAAUAAAAUUUAAUGCAUAACAAUAUGAAUCAUUUAAUGUAAGGAAAUAUUCUGCUGAGUUAAAAUAAAUCAACAUUAACACCAUUUACAAAUGCCCUGAUCGGUUUAUCUUUAAUAAACUUUCCCAAUCAAGAAUGCAAUAAAAAUUAUUACCUGGUGUCCAAUAUAAUGAUCUGGGUGGUUUGUUUGAAAGAAGCCAUUCACAGAAUCUGAUACUGCGUGAUCAGGCAUACGAGGGAUAUUCCUGACAAGUACCUGCAACAAGAAUGUAAAUAACUGUGAAGAUUUGAAAAGAUGCUUAAAGAAAGUUAGAGGGGGAAAGCAUUUAUAGGAGUGACUAUCCAAGCUGAAAAGCAUUCUAUUCUAAAACCAUAGCAUCUUUGCUAUAAGAGUUCAAUAUAGGCCAUUGCAUCAAUCCCGUACAAACCACUUUAUUCAAGUACCAAGAAUGGGUUUAAAGCUAGAAACUGAAAAUUAGCUCCUUGUGAAGAAGUACAAAGAAGCACAUCUAGAGUUGUUUUGGUACGUCCAAUAGCUACAUCGCUUAGGAGUCGAGACUAAAGACGGUUUAUGUACAUCUUUCUCCCUUAACCCACUGAAACACCUUUUAAGGACAAGACCGUGACAGAGCUAUGAGCUCAAAAACGAACAAUACCUCAGAUGCGGUGAUUGACUUUUAACGAUGUUAUCUCAACGGACUUGAAGUCGGAACAUUGGUCCCGUCUGUGGGAACAAAACGAGGUUCCGAAGACGAACCCUCAUUCCUUUAGCCCUCAACUAGGGGGAAUUCGUUCCCACUAGACUUCGACUGACCCAGUAAUCCCACGUCGCUUAGGAGUCAAGAACAAGGUAGUUUAUAUACACCUUCCCCCUUAAUCUACAAAAACGUCUUUUAAUGAGAAGAGCUUUGAACUCUAAAACGGACAAUACUUCGGAUGUCCAGUGAUUUCUUUGCUAACUAGUGAAAAGUAAACUGAUAAAAUAACCAUGCAAGCCUUACCAUAAUACACAAAAAAAAAGGAACAGACGCUUCACUGCAAUUGAAAAAUGGCGAGGACUGAAGAGCUCCAAGAAAUGCUUUCUAGCAAUACGAAACAAUCUAAAUUUUAUUCUACCUAUUAAAAAUGAAUUAAGAUUUUUAACUUACUGUGAAUUGCUCCACACGCCUGCGUUGUGAUGCAAUGAAGUGCAAUCUCAUUGAUGCGAUAUUAUCAUAUUCUUUGUACAGCAGAAAACAAAUCCAUAAUGUGAACAUGUAUUCCAAUGCUAUGUGAACAAAAAAUCUGAAAUUUAUAAUUCCAGCUGUUAGCUAUUUGAUAACACAAAAAUACUAUCAUGAAAAUGUAAUGUAGCUUGCAAUACACAUAAAACUAAACAAUACAAGAUUUAACCAAAACAAGAGAGACAGGGAGAUGAAGAGAAAAUAUUUAAAUGGUGGAUAUUAGAUAUCAGGGAUUGAAUACGAUUUAGUACAUGAUUAAAAAAGUGAACUCUUUGAUGAGACAAUAUAAUACAUGCUUCAAUUAUAUUUUUUCCUAAUAAAACUUUAAUGCAUGAGUGAUGCGAGUAGUUAAAGUCAAGAGAAGAAAACACAAAAACUUGGACCUCAAGCGAACCAUUCCUUCAUAAAGAACGUUCUGAAUUAUUUGUUUAAAUUUUUGGGGGAGUUUAAGGAAAAAAUACCUUAUAGAUUCAGGAGGAACAUUUGAUAUUGAGAGUUUAUCAAUAUCACUCACUACCAAUUCCCUUUUUAGGAAAAAUAAUGUCCCACUUGAUACGUUGACUGGUAUAAGAAUGAGGAGUGCCACAACUGUGAUUGGAACAAAAAUCUUUAAGCUGAAAAGAAAGAGAUAAAAAUUAGUCCGAUUAGUAGUAAUCCAGCACAGUAAUUUCAACAUUAACAAGAAGUUGAAAAGGAGAGUCUUAUCUCUCUUUUCACUAUCUCAAACUCAUGCCUCCCAUCAAAAGAUUACAUUAAUAAAUUCGAUAGACAGAAAAAAGGUGCAUCCCUCACAUGCAACACAUAAAAGUUGACAGAAAACAUAAACAGAGGGAGGAGCACAAUGAAAAGUGGAAAACGUAGAAAAUUGGACUACACCCCAUAAGGUGAAGCUUCCACGGAAGAGAUUUAACAAAAGCUGGCAAAACCAAAAAGAAAGUUCAAAACCACACGGCAAUACUCUAGAAUCUAUUUGAUAAUCAAACGCAUGGAAAUACAAAUACAAGCAACAACCAAAUACUUAGCAUUUUGAGAAGUAGAACAAUUUUCAAAACAUAGUUGCCGCACAACAACAAAUGCAUAACAACAAUUACAGCAAACAAAAUCACAAUUCAAUAAAAAACACAACAGCAUGUCAGUUCUGUCUUUUUUUCCCAAUGAUAAAAUUAAAUGUAAAAAAAAAGUAGUCAAUGACUCAGUGUGACUAAAGUUUAAACCUUUUGCAUUAAAAUGAUAAAAAAAGGAUCAAUUCUGCAGGAUGGUCGCCGCACAACAAUCCAUCACAUCAAUCACAGAAUCCACAGAAUUUAGUACAUUAAAUUAAAAAAAAAAUCAGAAUAUGCUUAAUAAUAAAAUCUUUUACGAUGGAUGAGAAAAAAAUGGUAAUUUUAUCAUGAGUUAAGCGGAAGGCAGCAAGUGAUUGCUGAAAACAAACAACACGAGAAUGGAGUGAACCAUAGAGAGUAGAGAGAUGUGAUAAAUGUUUAAAGGGAAAGUGAAAGUUGAUAUGAAGAGUGUAAAAGGAGAAAGGAGUACCCCAGAGUGUAGAUUCUAAGGAAAGCAGCAGAGUCAAGGCCAGCAUGGCUGAUAAUCUCAGACUCACUCAUUCUGAGAGCCUGAGGCAUCCAAUUCAGGAAGGUAAGGUAAGUCCUGAAAUUGAGGUUCACAAACUUGCCCACAAAAUUCCCAGAACUCCUAGGACUACUUCUCCCUCCACUGAGAUACCACUUUGGAAAGUAGACCCUAUCAUUGACGGGUUGGAUUCUCAGCAGAGCAAAAGCCAGCAAGAAAGCAAAGGCUGAGAGAAUGUUGAUGGUAGCUGAGACACCAAUGUCUGCAAGGGUGGCCAUUGCAGAAACCAAAGGAGUCGAGAGAAAGAGAGAGAGAGAGAGAGAGGAUGGGGUGUGAGAGAGGAAGAGAAUUGAAUAGAAGAAUGAGAAGGGAAAGAAUAACUGAUUCUUGGUAACUCCAAUUCUUUAUUGCAUGGUGGAAAUAAAAAAGCUGGGUUCUUUGCUGUUGUUUGACUUUAUUGAGCAUCAAUUAAUAAACUUCAUUUAAAAAUUAAAUUUUUUUGAGUUGGGUUUUUGUUUGAUUGUGAUGAGUAAGAGAGCACUUUGCAAGAGACGGUUUCAUGUGCUAAUGGAAAAGGAUUAGCUCUUAACAUAGUGCCAUGUUCUUGUUUUUGUGUUUGGGUUGUGUCUCUGUCUCAGUUUCUACCAUCAUAAAGCAUCUGAUGAGUAAAUUGAAAAGCCAGAAAAAAAAAAUUAAUUAAAGGGACUAAUCUUUUUGCUUUCAUUUUUUGUUUUUUUUUUUUCUUUAAUUCGCUUUUUCCUUGCGGCGGGAAAGUUCGCUGUAAUCAUGCUAAUCGCCACGUUCGCGGCAAUAAAUCGGCUAACGUUGUUCCAAUACGUAAAUAAUACGAUACAUGUAUCUGUGUAACAUAACAUGCAUCGUAUUUAGGCUUAAAUAAAAUGGUUUUCAAAUAAUUUAUUAUAUUUUUUUAAUUCAGAUCUUUUUUUCAGUAAUAUAUGUUUGAUUAUAAAUGAUAAUAUUUAUCAUCAAAAUAAAUUUAAUGGUGUGAAUGCAAGUAAUAUUGUGUUACUUUUUUAAGUUUCAUUUUUUAUUUAAUGGACCUCCCUCGUAUUUUUUGUUAAUUUUAAUUAAUAAUAAGAGUAUGUUAAAGAAUAAUGAAAACGCGUUGUUAAUUAACUUUCUUUCAAAAUUAUUAAACCAGGUAAAUUUAUGAUAAUGGUGGCCCCUGGUGGGGCAUGGUAAAAAAAAUAAAAAAGUAAUGAAAUUUAGGUUUAAUUAAUAUUUUUUUGUCUUUGUAAAUGAAUAUGCACGUUUCUUUUAAUUUUUUUUAAUCUCUUUAAAAUUGAUAUUUGUUGUGUAAUCUUUGAAAAAUAUGUGAAUUUUUGUUUUAAUUUCUAUAAAAUAAUUUUUUUAAAUUUUAUACUAAUAUCGAUUCAUAAGAUUUUAUUUUACAUAAACAAAUAACAUAUCUUAAAAUUAUUUAUUGACAUUUUGUGACUUGAUUUUUAGUUUAAAGCAAUCAGUUAAUAAAUAUUAUAUAACAAUAGAAAUAAAACAAUAAUUUUAAUUUUAAAAUAAAAAAUUCAGAAUCAAAAUUAAAAUAAACUUAUUUUUAUUGAUAUUAAAAAUAUAUUUAAACAUAAAAUUGAUACAAUAAUUUACAUCUGAUUUUAAAAUAAUUAAAAUUUAUAAUCAUACAUCAUUUAAUGAAAAUAAUAAUGCAGCAUAUGUGUGUGUGUGGUGUCACAACAUUAAAGGACACUUAAUAUUAUUAUUUAUGAUAUAAUUAAUCUCAUUUAAGUAAUUAAAUGUAACGUUAAUUUUUUAGUAUGGAUUAUAUGAAAUAUAUUAUUUAAUGAUACAUUUUUAUCUUAGAAGAAUAUUUUUAUUUUAUUAUGGGUUUUAUUAUUUUUCCAGUAUAUUGAUUAGAGAGUUGAGUUUAUUUCUAUUAUAUUGACUCAAAUAAAUUUUUAUAUGCACUGAAAAAAUUGAAACGGAUUUCUUAUUAUAUGAAUGAUAGUCCACGUUACGAGUUUAAGCAUUAAAUCAAUUACUGAUGUUAAAUAAUUCUUUGAUAUUUUUUAAAAUAAUAAAAAACAACAGUAAAUAUAUAAUUUAUUAGAAUAACAUUUUUUUAAUAAAUACAAUCCUUUAGUUUAUUAACAAUAUAUCAUGUAUAUAUAAAUUUGUGUUCAGAUUAGAGUAGCUAAUUUGAUUUGUUUAUAAGUUAAUUUUAGUAAGGUACAUUAACUUCAAAUUUUCAAAUUACAAAUAAUUUCAACUAGCUUUUGUAAUACUUUAAUUAUUUUUUAAAAAUUAUUUAAUUUUUUAUUAUCACUUCUUAUAUUUUAAUAUAUAUUUAUUCAUUUUUAUUAAUUAUUAUAUCAACUAGAUUUUUAUUUAUAAGUUAUAUAUAUAUAUAUUUUAUUUUAUACAGACAAUUAAUUAUUGUAUAAUUUGUAAUAUUUGCUUUAUUACAUUUAAAUUUUUUCUAUAUAGUUUAAAUUAAAAAAAAAUAACUAAUGUUUCAUUGCAUAAUAAUGUUAUACAAAAAUUACAUACAAUAAAAAUAAAAAUUGUAAGAAAUAAAUUUAAUUUAGUUUAUUAACAAUAUAUCAAGUACAUAUAAAUUUGUGUGUAGUAAGGUUAGAGUAGCUAAUUUGAUUUGUUUAUUAGAUAACUUUAGUAAGGUACACUAAAUUUGUAAUUUGUAAAUUACAAAUAAUUUCAAUUAGCUUUUUAUUUAUAAGUUAUAUACUACUUUAACUAAUUUUUAAUUUUUUUAUUAUUAUUUCUUAUAUUUUAAUAUAUGCUUUAUUAUUUUUAAUUUCUUUUUACUAAUUAUUUGAUAUUUUAAACGUUAAUUAUAUAAUCAAACUUAAAUAUUUAUAUCAAGUAAUAUUUAGCAACUAACUUUAUCAAACAAUUUUAACUCAGUGAAUUAAUUUAUGAAUUCAAAACUUAUAAGUUUAUAUAAGUUAGUGUUGUGAAACAUACUCUAUAUAUACACACAAUUAAAAUGUAUUAUAUUACACAAUUAAGAAAUAAAUAAUAUAUGAUCCGAUUAAAUAUAAUCAUGUUGAAAAUGUAUAAUCUAUCAAUCAAACGAGUUUAUAAUUUAAAAGUGUAUUUUUCUCAGAAAAAACAAAGAGUUGAAUGAUACCAAAACAAGAAAAAUGAGAGACUGUGAAACUUAGAAGUGUGGGAUGAAUGGCAGAGGAGGAGAGUGGUGACAGAGCCACCAUGAUUGGCGGUGAGAUCGGCUACUGCAUUACUCUUAAAAAGGGUGCCAUGAAGUGUUGUAUUUAAAACCCGUGACACCAUCGAAGGAUGAGUCUUAUUCAUUCUGAGAUUGUUGCUUUGCAUGCAGCAAACACAAGUAACAGUGUGCCGAACCACAAACAACCCUAACGACAAUUUCAUUUGACUCUUUUUUCCACCAAUUUUGUCGGUAAUUGCAGAAUUUCCCCAUUCACUAUGUUGUCUCAUUGGUUCAUCCAAAUCUUGAUUGCUUCCAAGGAGAUGAACCUUCUGGCUACUCUUUCUUAACAACAAAACAUUAACAUCGUCUCAUCACAUCUUAAUCACCAAACAAUCCAUUUUAUGCUUCAAUUAAGAACUAAGUUUUCAGUUUAAAAUCUUAAAAAAAAUGUUUAAGUGUAAUGAUUAUAUACAUAAAUAAUCACGAGAAGAUAAUUAGAGAAAAUAAUAUUGAAUAUCUCCCAUACUUCUUUUUGAAUAAAUAUUGAAUACUGUUAUAAAAGACUUCAAAAUAAAAUUAGGUUAGACCAGAUAAUUAUAACAUUAACUAAGAUUUUUUGUUCAAUUGUUUCAAGAUGUCUCAUCCAACAUGAAGAGUAUAGAUGAUGUUCUAAAAAACAAUAAUGUUUGUUUAGUGGAAAUAGUAUAAAAUCUAAGUUGAAAACGAAGCUUAUCUAUAAAAUAUACAAAGGGGAAUGAUCUCAUGAUUGUAUCUGCAAAUUUAUUGUAUUAAAAUUUUAUAAGAAUGAUUUAAAAAGAAUAUUACUUUUAAGUAAAGAAAUUAUGUAGUUAUUUUUUAAAAGAGGUGUGUAGUUAUUUAUUUUAUUAAUAAAAAAUAUUUCUAUUUAUUAAAAUAUACUUUUUUUAUUAAAAAAAUACCAAAAAUAAUUUAAAAUGUAUAUUUUCCUUUAUAUAAUGGUAUACAUAUUUACAAGUAUAAAAUUUAACUUAUAUAAAUCAAAAUUAUUUUUUUUAUCCAUGUAUAUCUUAUCUUAUUUUGAUUUAUUAAAAAAAUAAAAAAAUUUACUUUAUAACUAUAUUUCAUUUGUAUUUAAUUCUCAUUUUUACAUAAUUUUAAUGAAAUAUCAAUAUUAAAAAUAUUUUAAAUAUUACUAGACCUUAUAUGCCAGUACAAUUUGUUCAUAAAUGAUUAUUAAAUAUUUUAAUUUCAAUGUUUAAUUAGAUUACUUUUUCGUUUAAAUUAGAUAUCAGUACUUUUAAAUUCAAAUAAAUAAUAUCAUGUAUUUGAAUAUUAUGAAACUACAAUUUGUAUUUUAUUGUGUUUAGAAGUGAUAUUUACUUCUUUGCUGUAUGCUAUGAAGUAGGACAUAUUAAUAAGUUUGUUUUAUAUUUAUUAUAAUAUUAUACUUGUUUGAAUUUUAUUUAAAUAUUUAUGAAUAAAAUAGACUUAUACAUCUUAAUGCGAAUCAAUUUUAUCUUAAAAUAUUUAUAUAAAUUAUAAAAACUAUAUCAAAUUAUAUUGAGUGAGAGUGCACGGGAAUGUAUAAUAUACAUAAAUAAAUAAGGAUACAAAAGAUUGGUAACCGAUAACAAAUCAGUAUGUAUAUCAUUAUUAUUUAAUUUAAUUUAAUUUUUAAUUCAUGUAAAAUGAAUAAAUUUUAAUUUUGAUCUUUAUAAAUGCUUUUCUUUGUUUAUUUUUAUUUUUGUCUAAUUUAAAAUUUAAUUUUUUAAUUUUUAUAAAAUGUGUGAAUAUUAGUUUUAGUCCCUAUGUCACACUUUUCUUUGAUUUACAUUCUUUUAAAAAAAAUUAAAUUAUGCCCUUGAUAUUUAUUUUUAAGAUAAAUUAAUAACAUUCACUUUCUUAUGUUAAAAGUUUGUUUGGAUGACUUUUGUGAACCUUAUAUUAUAACACUUUAAAAUAGUUAUGUGAUUUUUCCGAAAAAUAUAAAUUGUUAUUUAAUAACAUAUAAGAAUUUCAAGUGAUAAUUUAUAAUUUUCAAGAGAUAAAAACAAAUAAAAAUUAUAAGAUAAAAAAACUCAUAACUUAACCUUCUCAUUAAUUGUUAUUUCUAAAUUUUUCAAUAAUUUAAUAUUCAGUGGAGAAAUAGUUUAAUUGCAUGAAUAAUUAUACAAACUAAUAUAUUUAUAUACAUGCUUCUUAAAAAAAUAAUAUAAAGUAAUCCCCUAGUAACUUUCAUACAUGAUUGUAGUGCAACCACAUGCACAUGUAGUUAGGUAUAUAAUGUUAUAACAGGAACAAUAAAUACAAGAAUAAGUUAUUUAAAAAAUUAUUAUAAUAUAACAAUUUUAUUUCAUUUUAUCUUAUAAAUAAAAUUCAUAAUUUAACUUAAUCCAUCGUCAAAAAAAUAUACGCAUAAAUAUAAACAACAUAUUACACAUGGAUCCAUAUAAUAAAGAAUAUAUAGGUUGAAAUAUCUAGUGUUCUCUUUCAAAAAAAAUGUAUUUUUUGUAUAAGCAUUUUGUAAUUUAAUUUUAUGGGUAUAUGAUAAUUUUAAUGCAUUCAACAUCCAAAAUCCAUAGUUUGUCAGAUAUGCAAUAAACUUUCAUUCAAUUUCAUACCAUCUUGUUAUGUGGUUUAUAUUACUUAAAUCAUCAAUAAACUUAGAGAUAUCUAUCAUAUAUCUCAAUACAUAAUUCACAUAUUUGAACAAUGAUUCAAAUGUCGUCCUAGAUUUGUAACAUCAAUUCCAUACAUUUUACAUAAAUGUACCAUUCUCAACUACAUUUCAUGUACCACAUAAUUUACUUGAAAUAAGAUGAUAGAUAAUUAAAAAUUUAAUAUUUUUUUUAUAUAUUUAUAUAUAGCACCAUUGUUCAUUCAAUUAAAUCAAUAUACAUUUAAAAUUAAAAGUAUUUAUUUUCUUUCCUUGAGCAAGUGACAUUACUUUCGCUUAAGCACUAUAAUUUCACAUUUCACUAAGUGAUAAUAUCAAAUGAUUACUUACUUGACCAAUUUAGACAAUCUCUUCACUUAGGUGAUUAUGAUUUUGGUGAGUGAGAGUAGCUCAACAAACACUCAAAUGAGCAACUCAUACUAUAUUUUUACUUAAAUGAUCCUAAUUUCACUGAGUAGGAGUAUUAGAAGGUAUUGAGUAACAACUUUCUAUAUCAGAACUAAGAUAGUUUCAAAAAAUUUAACACACUUUAACUCUAAACAAAUUUUUUACUCCAACACAACAUUAUUUCUUACAAAAUACCACCAAUAAAUCUACUUGCAUUUUUUUUAAACUAAUUCAAAGAAUGGAUUUUCUAUUCAACAUGUAAAGGAAUAACAUUGAAUUCAACAUGCAAAAGAAGAACUCCCAACUUAACAUAUUAUUAUACUAAGUGCUCAAUAAUCGAUCAAACCCCUAUGAGUCUAAGGAUCAAAUUACAUUGCUAAAGUGUUAAGUGUUAGCAUAUGAGUGAUGUUUAAUUUACCAAUAACCAAAAUACUAUCCAAUAAAAAAAGUUAAAAAUUUACAAGUUAUAUUGAAAUUAUAAUCACAAAUAUUUUUUGUUUAGUUUGAUAAAUAUGAAAUUAUAUUAAUUUCACAAGUUUACAAGUUAUCAUGAUUUUAACUUCAAUAUAUCUUUUAACAUCUUUAGUUUAUUUUAAUAAAUUUAAUAAUCAAAAUUAUACUUAAUUCUCUCUCACAUGCUUCAAUGCAUAAAAGGUUUGGUGUUUAAUUAUUGGAUUGACAUUUCUUUUUGUCAUGUGCAAAUCUUGAUCCAAACUAGAUAUGAAAUUUAAAGGAGGUCAUGCAAACCCUAUUAUACAGUUCUAUUUUGUUUUUGUUAAUAGUCAUUUUGUCUUUUGAUAAUUAGGCAGACAAGAUUAUUUGAAUUAGGGUUUCUAAUUUUGCACCCUAUAAAUUUCAAGUUGUAUCCCCAUAUAAUUUUAUGUGACCCAUUUGUUCUUUUGAAAAUAAAUGUUCAAUGUGGGUGACAAUGCAUUGGUUUGGAGCAUUUAUAUGUUUCAUUCUUGUUGGUUGACCUGGCAACUGGUGAUGGCUGGCGAUGGUGCUAAUUUAGUGGAAGGGUGAUUGUUGCAGUAGUUUUAGUGAGUGUGUUUAUUUUUUGCAAUUUGAGUUCCAUAAUGUACAAUUUGAUUACCUUCCAAAUUAUACAUCCUACAAUGGUAGAAGUUGGUUUUGUACAUUCCAAAACAUAGAAUCUAGAACAUAAAACAUUUAUUUUGGAAUGUAGAAUCUGGAAUGCAUAUAUGUAUUUCGAAUUUUACGUUCCAUAAUAAAUAUUUGUAUCUUGGAUUCUAUUCCAAAACGUAGAAUCUGGAAUACAAAAUAUGCAUUUUGGAACAUAAAAUGUACUCUCCAGAUUUUAUGUUCUGGAAUACGUAUUUGUAUUUAACCUCAACGGUGGAGCAAAAUAUCGAACGAAGUUGAUAAGUUAUCUGAUAUAGAUGAGUCCAACAUAAUGAAGUCAGUGGCAUCUAAAGAUGAAUUGGUUGGGGGAGACUUCGUUCAACCAUUUACAACAUAGGAGGUAAGUGUAAUUUCAUUGAUACAAAAGUGUGACAUAUGAUAUUCUAAAAAUGUGUUGUAAUAAUACAUUCUAGAUUACACAUUCUUAAAUGUAUUUUUAGAUCGGGAACAUACAUUCUAAAAUGCACAAUCCAAAAUAUAAUAAUACAUUUGGGAAUAUACACUCGAGAUCUGAAAAUACAUUUCAAAUUACACAUUCUAGAAUAUCUUAUCAAAUUCAGAGUGUACAUUCCAAAAUUUCAAUAUAAAGUGUAAUACAUUCUAGAUUACACAUUCUAGAAUGUACACUUAAGAAGCACAAAUACAUUCAAAAAUUUACAACUAAAAUGUAUAUUUUAAGAACAACUUUAUCAUUUUACCUCCUCGUAAGGGUGUAAAAUGUGAAAUCCUUAUACAAUUUACUUUCUUGUUGGUCUUAUUACGAACCCAUCAACUUCCAGAAUAACUAAACCUACUUUAAAAUUGUGCAAGUAACAUAAGGUGUGAAUAUUUAAUGAAAUUGUUACAGAUUUUUUGAAAAAUUUAUACAAAAUGUCAUGGGUUUGACAUAAUUUUUUAUUUUAUUAAUUUAAUGGGUAUUUUUUUAGGUUAAAAUUUGUCAUUAUUGUAUUUUUUUUGUUAUUGAAAAUAUUUUUCACUACAACAAAGAUCACUUUAGAUAACACCAAUAAAACUAUGGCCUAAAAACCUAAACCCUAAAAGGAAUCAAACUCAGUACUAUAAAUAAACAUAAUACAUGUAUAAACAUUAUACUAGAUAAAUUUUGUUAUUACAUUGUGAUUAAUAUUAUUAUAUUAUUAUUAUUACUUUUUUUUAUUAUUAAUAAUAUUGUUAUUGUUAGUAUUAAUAUUAUUAAUGAUAAUAAUAAUAAUAUUAGUAAUAUUAACAUUAUUAUCAAUUUUAUUUUUAUUAUCAUUAAUAUUAACAUUAUCAUUAUUAAUAUUGUUAAUAAUAAUAAUAAUUUGAAUUUACUUUCUAACUGAUAUAAGGUUCAAAUCCUAACUCCAAGCAAAAUAAUAAUAAUAUCUAAAUUGAUAUCCUUUAACCAAAUUAUCUCUUAAACACGAAUACAUUUUUGCUCUUACUAAAAAAAAUAAUUUAAAUUUAAAUUUUAUAUUUGAGUAUGUGUUGGAGGAUGAAAACAAAGAAAAACAUAUUGUAUAUUUGAAAUCCAAAAGUAUAUUUUUUAGUUUAUUAAAUUUUGCCAAUAGAUUAAUUAAAUAUUUAAAAUAUCCAUAAUUUCAAAAAAUUGAAUAAAGUAACCAUGUUUUAAUAAUGAUUUCCUAUAUUAAAGAUAACUUUAAUUAAAUAUGGUUUAAAACACCCACAAUUAAAACCACUUUUUUAUUAUUUUAGACAUAUUUUUCAAUGUGUUUAUUUUAAAAGGUUAUGCCACAAAACGGUGGCUUAAACAUCCAUGACCCAAAAAAUGUUGUAUAUAAUGAUUUAUAAGCUGCAAUUAUAAAAAUGUUGCAUUUUUCACUUUUAGGCUAUAUUUGUGGCCAAUUUUAGACCAUGAUUUUAUUAUUUAGUCCACACAUUCUAAAGAUACCUCUUAAAAAAUGUGGUAUAAACACUUAAAACCGCUAUUUUUUCUAUGUUUAGACAACGGUCAUAUAAGGGUGGCCUAGUUAAGGGUUGCCUAAAAUAAAGAAUGAUGUAGCACUACAAGAAAAUCAUGAAAUAUGAACAAAUUUUAAACACAAAAAAUAAUUAGUUGUUAUAGCGACUAAAUUAGAUAUAAUUUUAGAGACUAAAAAAAAUUUUGGUUUCUAAAUUAGUUUCUAUUAUUGUUAAAUGGUUUCUAAAUUGGUAUCUAAUUAACUACCUAGGUUUUUGCUACCAAAUUUAAAAUCUAAAUAAUUGGUAGUUAAAACCUUGGUAGCUAAUUAAAUACCAAUUUAGAAACUAUUUAACAAUAAUAGAAACUAAUUUAGAAACCAAAAUAUUGUUUAGUUUCUAAAAUGAUCGAUAAUUUAGUCACUAUAGCAACUAAUUAUUUUUUGUCUAUAAAAUUGGUUUCUAUUUCAUGAUUUUCUUGUAGUGUAGUGUUUAUUUCUGACAUGGACUAACAUUAUUCUUUUCAAUUGAUAUUAGCUAAUAUUUUUUAAUUAUCAAUAAUAUAUUUUAGAAUAAUGAAAAAUAUAAAAUCUAUUGUUUUUAAACAUCAAUAAUAUUUUUUUUCCAACUAAUAGUAAUAUAUGUUACUUUUAGUUAAUGCAAGUAUUUCAACUAAUGUAAAUCAAAAUAUAAAUCAAAGUUAUCUCUCGAUAAAUAUAGAUAAAAUUAUUUUUUAGUCGAUACAAGUAUCAUAUUUUAUCAAUAAUAAUGAUUAUUUUUUAGUUAACCAUGUCUAUUUGAAAACAUAACAUAUAAAUUACGGUUUUGUGGACAACUAUCACCUAUAAUGACCACUAUAGACUAUGGUUUUUUAGGCAAUUAUCGCUUAUACAUGUGUCUACCAUAUAAACUACGGUUAUUAGGUCAUAACCGUCAUUUAUAAGCUUCUUUUUUUUCACUCCAAAUCUUUCCAUCUUCGCACUUUUUCCUCUGUUGCUUCCAUUGUUGUCUUCUCUAUGAGUUGUCCUUGUUGUCAUUUCUCUUAUUCCUUGUAAUUUGUCUUCCUUAUUGUUUUUUAUGUUGUUUAUCAUACUUUUUGUGUUUUCUUGAUGGGGUUUUCUCCAUUUUCAGUGUUAAACGAGUGAGUUCCCAAAUCCGAAAUUGUUGCUUGUGUUCUCCUUGUCGUUGUUGUUGUGCGUCACCGCUGAAGCUCUUGAGAUCCUCUACAAUAUCUGUUCAUUUACCACAAUCUAUCUUUGUUCACCAUCUUGAGUUUCUGCAACCCGAAAGUCACUCUCGAAAAUUUCUCGACAUCAAAAUUGGUGGUUAUUUUUUUAUCUUCUUGACUUUCUUUUCUUCGUCCCACAUACAAUACCAAUUGUUAGGUUAUCAACAAUAACAAAAACAAGAAAAAUAAGAACAAGAUUGAAGAAAACAUUUUAGGAUCACCUACGCUAUAUGUGACGGUUCUGUACAUAAGUAUCGUCUAUAAUGAUCUAAUAGACUAUGAUUGUGUGAUCGUAUAUAAUUAAAAACUAUAGACGAUAUGUGCAUAGACUACAAGUCUAAAAUUGUCAUCUAAAGCCUUUAAAAAUCAUUGUCUAAAGAUAUUUUUACAGUAAUGUAUAGGUAAAAAAAAAUUAAUUUACAUUAAUAUGAAUUAUUUUCUUGUUGAGAUUAUUUAUCCGUCAAUAUACAUCAUAACACUAUUUAUCUUUCAAUGUUUGUUAGAUUUUCCUCAACUAAUGUCUGAGAGGUAAUAUUUUUAGUAAACAUGGACUAAUUGAUAAGUGUCAAUGUGUAGUUUUUAUGAUUGAGAAAAUUGAACACUUUGAAACUUAAUUGUUGUUUAAUGUAAGAAAAUUACCCUAAUCUGAGAAUUAUUGAAUCUGAUUAUGUAUUUUGAACCAAGAAAUAAAUGAAGAAAUUUAAUCUCAAUUUUUAUGUAAAUUGCAGAUGAAUAUGAAGCAUUAAAAGAAAGAAAGCAAAAACUUAAUUGGAUCACCAGAAUAUUUAGCUCAAGCUAGAGGAUUUAGCUCAAGCUAAAACUGUUCAGAUUUGAUUAAAGGUGCAGUACUAAUCUAGCUCAGGCUAUAAUUGCUAGCUCAAGCUAAAAAUGCACCGAAAGAUCUAGCUUAAGCUAAAUUGGCUAGCUUGAGCUAAAGUUCAUUAUAUAAAUUUUGAAACACAACUCUAAAGGAAGCGGUGGAAAAAGAUUGGGUUUUUAUAUAGAGAGAGAUUAGUGAGAGAAAGAGAAGAAACCUCUGUUCUUAGGAGAAGAACUUGCUCAGAUCAACCCUUCUUAUGCAAUCCAGAUCAAGAAUGAAGAUUGAAGGAGCUGUCAUGAGUGGCUAAGUUCUUUCUAACUUGGGAUUGAAUGUAAUUUACCUUGAUCAAAUGUAUUUUUGGUGAUAUAUUAUAUAAUAUUAUCUUGGUAUUUUCGUUUUAUGCUUAUUGCUUGAUUUUGUCUAAUCAAUAGAGUCUUGAUUUUGAUCCUUAAAUUUAACUGGAAAGUACCUUUAAGGAUCUGAAAUAGACGAAAAUACUUGAUAACUUGUAAUGCUAGGAAUAAAUUUCAGGUUAUUAAUUGCAUCAUAAUUAUGUUCAUAAAGUUGGAUGAUUUGUUAGAUAUCUGAGGAAUCAGUAUUUGAAAAAUUAUCUUAUGAAUUUCAUAUGUCAGGAAUCAAGGUGAAUGACUUUUUAAAUUAAUAAGCAUUAAGAAUAAGUAGUUUUGAGUAUUAUAUAUUGUAUUAUUCAAAAUACAGAUGAUUGAGAUAGACGCAAUUCAAUCCCAAGUAUCUUUCUCUAUAUUUGAUAAGUUAGUUUUGGUUUUGGUUGAAUCAAACCCUAACUCUCCGAGUUAUUUGUGAAAUCUUUAAUUUGGUUAUGAACAAAGUCUUAAAAUUAUUUUCUAUACUUAAUGAGUUUUACAACAUAACAUCUUAAUUAGAAUUGUUCUCUGUGGGUUCAACAUUCGUACUUUAAAGAGUACUAUAUUACAGUUGAUUCGAUACAUUUGCCGAGAAAAAUAUCAACACUAACACUACAAGAAAAUAAUUAAAUAGAAACUAAUUUUAGAGAGAAAAAGUGACUAAACUAGAUAUUAUUUUAAAGACUAAAAAAAUCAUUGGUUUCUAAAUUAGUUUCUAUUAGUGAUAAAUAGUUUAUAAAUUGGUAUCUAAUUAGCUACAAAGAUUUUUGCUACCAAAUUUAGAAUCUAAAUAGUUGAUAAUUAAAACCUUGAUAGCUAAUUAGAUACCAAUUUAGAAACUAUUUAUUAAUAAUAGAAACUAAUUUAGAAACCAAUUUAGUUUCUAAAAUGAUAUCUAAUUUAGGUUCUAUAGCAACUAAUUAUUUUUUUUCUCUAAAAUUGGUUUUUAUUUAAUAAUUUUUUUUAGUGUAAAUGUUUUUAGUUGAAACUUUGUCGUAUUUAGUUUUUUAAAUUUUUGUCCAUAUUUACAGUUCAAAUAGUAGUUUUUAUAUUUGGUGACAAUUGAAAUACUCCAUUCAAUCUGAAAAUUUUAAAAUUAUUAAAUUAUUUUAUCAAAUAAAAUAUUUAAAAAUUUAAACAAUUUUAAAUAAAAUAAAAAAAUAGGUAAAUGUAUUUCAAAUUUCUGGUACAAAUUUCUCAUUCCAUAGAUAUCUUUACAUAUUAUAACUAUUUUUAACAAAGUAUCAACAUAAUAUUUGUAUUGGUUUGGGAUUUAAGUAAAGAAUUGUGUUAUUUCAUUGUACUACCAAAGAACAAACACUAAAAAAAAAAAUCACGAAAUAAAAACCAAUUUUUAGCAUUUUAGAAACUAAAAAAAAUUGGUUUUUAAAUUAGUUUCUAAUAUUGUGAAAUAGUUUCUAAAUUGGUAUCUAAUUAGCAACCAAUGUUUUAACUACCAAUUAUUUAGAUUCUAAAUUUGGUAGCAAAAACCUUAGUUGCUAAUUAGAUACCAAUUUAGAAACUAUUUCACAAUAAUAGAAACUAAUUUAGAAACCAAAUUUUUUUAGUCCCUAAAAUUGUCUUCAACUUAAUCACUAUUGCAACUAAUUAUUUUGGUUUCUAAAAAUUGAUUUCUAUUUCAUGAUUUUCUUAUAGUGAAAGUGUAUAUUGUGUAUUUCUUUUGGAUGAUUUGAAUCAGAAUCUUUCUCUUGUAUCUGACUUCAAAUUUUUUAAGCUUGUCACAACUUCUAUUUGCCUAAGUCGAGUUGUUCUUAAGGCAAUUUUUAAGAAAAAAAAAGUAUUAACUUGAUCUUAAAGUUGAUCAUCUCACAAACUUAAAAGUUUACCAUAGAUACACAAGUUUUAGAAUCAUGGAACUUGUUAAGAAGUGAACUCAACCUUAUAACUCGCUCACGCCAAAAUCCUCCAAAUUCGAGUGAUUCGAUAGCGGCUCAAUAGCGAGUGGUAUGAUAAUGUCAAUAAACUCUACUUAUGAUAAAGUUUAGAUGACUCUGAUAAUAUAUUUAAAAGUGGACUUUAAGUUUAACUAAAGCUUAUCAAACUGACUUAAGUGAGGUUCGCAAUUACUUAUAUAUUAUGAAUUAUCCUAAUUUCUAUUUGAUGUAUUAGAACUUGAGGUUGAUGUUAUUCAUUGAAAGAGGGGACAUUUUUUUUCCUGGUAUAUAUAGAUAACUCAUUCCUCUUUAUUCAAGCCACACACACAAAUCAUAAGAAAAAAAAUUCAUGGUUAUUAUAUAUGUCAUAAUGCCAGCGAAUAUAUUGUAUCAACACAACUGAAUUAAUCUCAGCCUCCUUUUUUCUUCUCGGAUAAGUACAUACAUAGAUACAUAUAGUGUUUUCAUUAUCAUCAUGCAGAACAGCCUAACAGAAGACAAAAUAAGAUGAAAUACAGUGGAAUUGUGGAAAGCAUGAAGAAGAAAAAGACUUUUGGAACUCAAUGGC
This 44534-nucleotide long non-coding RNA is filed under the name Phaseolus vulgaris (common bean). Its description in RNAcentral is "long non-coding RNA (PVUL_LNC004506)". Lineage: Eukaryota; Viridiplantae; Streptophyta; Magnoliopsida; Fabales; Fabaceae. The record is from RNAcentral.